CCGAUAUUUGUUUUUCUGUUUUAAUGUUUCUCUCACGGUUUGAGAGGGAUCUUCCGAACCAGUACUUCUUCUAACUCAUGUGUAGUGUCUAUUGACUCUAAGGAUAUCUCCAUCGCUCGAUAGCAUUGAUGGCCACUGCUUUCAGUCGAUUUGGUUUUGCAUGUGCUGGAUUUGCCCUCAUAUCUCCUCUCCUUAAGUUUCUGAUUUUGCAUUUUUAUUGGCUGCCAUUGGUUAAACCUUUCCUCGACUCUUCCUCUCCUUGAUCUUCAGUUUGAUUGUGUCAACUCACGGUAGUUAUAGAUGGCGACAUUUUUCUUCUGCCUUGGCUGCAGCUCUCACUAGUGGACAUGAAGACCAGAGAAGGGAGGGAGGCCCUAUUGGUUGUAAGUAGUCAAGUUGGGAUUUGGGUGUUUCGUAGGGUUGAGUUUUUAGGAUCUUUGCUUCAUGGGUUGGUUUUAUCUUUUGGGCUUUAGGGACCAUUUUAGUCAGUUUGUCCUUCCUUAAAUUAUUGUAUUAGGAGAGAAUCCUGAAAGAGAAAGAAAAGAGAAGGGCUGAUUUUCUUACUAUUUUCUCUAAAAUUGUAAAUUCAUUUUUUAAUUUCAUAUAUUUUAAAUUAAUUUUAUAAUUAUUAAAUUUUUUCAUAAAAAAUAGAGUGUAUGAUAAAAGAAAAAUAUGCUUCACAUUAUACUAUUGAUUUCAUUCUUUAAAAAAAUUGAAAAUUGAAAAAUAUUAUUAUUUUAUUAAUAAUAAAUAUUUUAAAAAAUAAAUGAUAUAAUAAUUUAAAAUUAGGGUUAAAUUAAAUAAAAAAGUCCAUUAACUUUUUUUGGGAAAAAUAGCUUGUAAAAUGAGAGACAUUUUUUUUUGGCUUAUUUUGUAAAUAAAAAAAAUAUAAACAACAAAAAGUUAUUAAUGUAAAUAUCUAAUUAACAUAUAAAUUAAAAUUUAAAAAGAAUAAAAAUAAUAUUUUUUUAUUAUUAAUUUCCCUUUUUAUUCAAGGGAGAGAAAAUAAAAAAAUAUGGUAAUAAAAUUAAUAUAAAAAUGGUAAUAAUAUUAUUAUUUUUCUUAAAUAGUUGAAAAAAUAGUAAAAAUAUUAUAAUAAACUUAUAGUUUUAAGACAAAUGAUUAACAAAUUUUGGAUUUUCUAUUUUGUAUUUUUAAAUUACAUUAUCAACUUUUAUUUUUUAAUAAUUGUAUUUUAUUAUUAACCGUGUAAUUUUUUUUUGAAUCAAAUUAUUAACCGUGUAAUUAACUUUCAUUAAGUUUAAAGCUAGUUGAUCAUUUUCAUGGCAUUAACAGAAUAUAGUUAAUUUAAUGACGGUUGUUUUUAAUUCAAAGAAAAGAAAAUAGAGUAUAAAGUUUUAAUUUUUUUUAAUUACUCCUUAUUUAAUUUUUGAUGAAUAUAAUAAAUAAAAAUUAAAAGAUUACCGAUUUAAUUUUUAUAAUUUAGAAAAAUUUAAUAGUUGAUUUAUAAUUUUAAAAAAUAUAUUAAAAUAUUUUAAUAUUUUAUAAAAUUUAUUUAUUAAUUCUCUGUAAUUUUAAUUUUUAAUUAUUAAAUAUUAUAAAAAUAUUUAAAAUAUUCAUUAUAUGAAAAAAAUUAAUUAAUAAAUAUUUUAAAAAUUUAAAAGAGUAAUUAAUAAAUUUUUUAAAUUUAUAAUAAAAUAUUUAAUAAAAAUUAAUUAAUAAAUUUUUUGAAAUGUUAAAAAUAUUUUAAUAUAUUUUUUAAAAUUAAAAGAUUAAUUCAUAAAUUUUCUCAAAAAUUUUACCGUUUUAUAUUUCUCUCUGAAGUUAAACUUGAGCAGAUCAGACCUUAAAAAAAAUUGCCACAUGCCAUAAUCCUAUUGGUCACUGCAGAGAGCUUGACCGUGCACAGUCCACACCUUCACGUUAAAAGGCAAACCAGAGACGAAACGAACACUCACACUGACAGAGGAUAGAUCCGCAAUUCGGCAUAGCCUUCUAUUUUUCCCUUAAGAAAAAAAACGAAAAAUAUGAAUCUAUUUCACAAUCAAUAAAUAAAAAAAUAAUAAUAAAGCCCCAAGUUUAAUUUUAAUUAUUAUUAUUAUUUUUUUUAAGGAGCGAUCUCUAAAUCCCUCUCUCUAAAACUCAAAAAAAUUCAAAAUCCCUCUCUAUGGCCUUUCACGCAGCUUGCCCAAUUACAUGGUUAGUGUCUUACUAUUAACACUAAACCCCUCCCUUUUAUCUUCUCUUCCUCUCUAAACCUCUAUUUCUUUCUGUUUUUCUCAUUUUUUUUCCUCAUUUUCUGGUUUUUUGUAGCCGCCGAAUUUGCUUCUGCUCGUUAGGGUUUCCGCGGGAUCUCCACAGCGAGAAAUCCAAGGCUGACUUCCUGCUUCAGGUUUCGAGAAUCGAGGAGUUUCUCAAGGAUCCUUUGGGAAUUAGGGAUUCUAACGAGUUGACUGUUCAGGUCCGUGUUCCUAAGGUAGCGCUAGUUCCUGCGACGCCUGCGUCGACGUUUGGCGUUGCUGCGGCUGGAGAUGGAGGAGGAGGAGGUGGUGGUGGAGGUGGAGGGAGUGAUUUGGGAGAAGAGGUGUCGGCGCAGAAUAAGCGUGUUGCGCUUCAGAAAAAAGCGGCAGCUGCUAUGGUUGCUGCUGAGGAUUAUGCUCGCCGGUUUGAGGCCGGUGAUAUGGCGGUAAGAUUGUUGUUUGAGUGGUCUUAUAUUUACAUGUACAAACGUAUAUGUGGUUUUAUUUUAAUUACUGGCUGUUGAGAGAUUGGCUAGUUUGUGUUUAAUUUGAGUGUAGGUGUUUAAGUCUCUUAAUGCUUGUCUUAUGAGUUUAACUUUAAAUGUGUAGGAUCUGGUGGUUGUUUCGUUUGAUUACCUUUCUAAAUUAUGGUUAAUUGAACAAUUACGUUCAUUUGAGCUUAGAAUGGUUCAUUGUUAGCUUAUUUUGUUAGGUUUGAUUUACUGUUGGCGUAAAUUUUUGCUGGUGAGUUGGAGGUAAAUAUUGAGGUUAUUUGUUGAAAUGUUUGAUUUGUGUUUAGUUAUACCGGUGCUUGAUUAAUAUGCUGGGAUGGGGAGGUAAUUUUAUUACUUGGAUAUAUAAUGCUUUUUUUUUUUUUUGGUGUGUGUGUGCAUGUGUUUGGGAAACAAAGCAUUUGGAAGCUUUAAUUACUGAAAGCAAACAAUGUAGCAGGAAUGCUGGGGGAGAAAUACCCCAGAUAAUCUCAUCAGACAAAGAAACAGCUGCUCUAGCCAUCAGAUGAGCAACUUGGUUCACUGAUUUAUUUGCGAAGGAACAUAGAAUUAAAAGAGCUCAAAAGAGCUUUACAAUCAUUAACUAUUUCGCUCAAAGAAGAAAGAUUUGCUGUUGAGAUCUGCAAAGCUUGAUUCAAAAGAAGUGAUUCAGUUUCAACAAUGUAGUUGAAACGUUUGAUUUUAUUUUAUUGGGGUUGGGGAGGGGUCAUUUGAGUGGUGGCAUUUGAAGUUUUCUAUUGCUUUAUAGAAAUGAUUGUAAUGGGAUGACAAGAGAUUUUAGGUGACAGAGGUUGGAAUUGAAAGAUUAUUUUAGAGUAUUGGUUGAUAGGGUCUACUAUUGGCAAAGAAAAGUUUAGUUGCUUCUUCUCUUCUCUAUUUUUUAUUUUUUAUUUUAAAAAUUCAUUUUCAGGUUGCCUCAAAAGAUACUAUUGGAGACGAGCAAGGUAUGUCCAACUCAAAUGUAAUGUGCCGCAUGUGCUUUUUGGGUGAAACUGAGGGAAGUGAGAGGGCAAGGAGGAUGCUUUCCUGCAAAAGUUGUGGCAAAAAGUACCAUAGAAGCUGUUUGAAAGCAUGGGCUCAACACAGGGGUAAAUUUAGUGGAUUAAUAAAUUUCCAGAGCUGCAAUAAUUUUUUAAAUGUAUCUUAUGCGGUGGAUGAUUGCAGAUUUAUUUCACUGGAGUUCAUGGACCUGUCCAUCUUGCCGAAUCUGUGAGGUACUUAUGCAUGUGAUUUCAGUUUGUUCUGAGCAAAAACUAUAUUACUGAGGUCAUACAUGUCAGAGAAAUGGCUCUUGAUCCUUCUGCAUACCAUAUCUAUUGCAAUGUUGCAACACAUCAACCAUAGUAAUUGCUGACUCCAUUUUCAUUUUUCUUGUUAUGUUAUUGUGUUCUCUAAGAUUUCACAAAAAAGAUGUCAUAUUCAUUUGCCUAGGCAAUGUUCCCACAUAGUUAGCAGCGUUCAUGUAUGUAUAUAUAUUAGAUCUAAUUAGAAGAGCUCUUAACCUUGUAUUGGUUCUGUUUUUGUCAGAUAUGCCGAAGAACUGGGGAUCCAAAUAAGUUCAUGUUUUGCAAAAGGUGUGAUGGUGCGUACCAUUGUUACUGCCAACAUCCUCCACAUAAAGUAAGAUUUUGUUGCAGGUUCCUAUUUCAUAUUUAGAAUGAAAUAGCAUUGUUAACAUUCAUUUAUGGAUGGUGCAGAAUGUGAGUUCUGGACCAUAUUUAUGCCCUAAACACACAAGGUGUCACAGUUGUGGAUCUUCUGUUCCAGGAAAUGGUCUGAGUGUGAGGUAUUGAUCACCAAUGGAUAGCCUUUGCACAUAAAAUUUAGCCUGUUCUAUAUAUUUUGGUAUUUGAAUUUUGUCGUCUUGCUUUUUGACUACCAUCAAAUGGGAAAUAACACAUGUUACCUUUAUUAUUGGAUAGUAAAUAUCUGUGUAAUUAAAGGAGAAUUCCUUGUCCCUGAUCAUUUCCUAUUAUGCUUUUGUAAGCUAGCAUAUCAGUACCAUAAUAUCAUAUUUAAUUUUGCUGUUAAGGGAUGAAUUAAAAUUUCUGACUCUGAAAUCUUCACUGUCACUAUUGUAAUGAUAAUGAUGGGUGAAUUGUUUGGUUUGUCCAAGUUUUAUACUUCUUUUUAUUUUUUUUUUCCAUUUAGAUCUCGUGUCGAUCUGGUAGGGCUACAGGACAAGUUGCUUGAUGGGAUGAGCUACAUUGAAUGUUUGUGCCUAUAGUUGAGCAGCCUAUUCUCUUCUUUAUCUUUGGCUGAUGUAUUAUUUACUCCUAAAACUUUCAGGUGGUUUCUGGGAUAUACUUGCUGCGAUGCUUGUGGAAGAUUGUUCGUGAAGGGAAAUUACUGCCCUGUUUGUUUGAAGGUAUUAUGAACCUAACAAAUAAGUUGAGUGUAGAUUAUUGUGUGCUUAUAGGCUGCUACAAUCAGUGUUGUUAAAGGCGAGAGGCGAGGUGCCAUCCCCUCGCGUCGCCUGACUGAGGCAAAGGCGCCUGCACAAAGGGGAUGCCUCAGUCCACAAAGGCGCCAGGCAAGAGGCACCAGAGGCGAUGCCUCACUGAAGCAAACCUUUUUUUUUUUUCCAACAAAAUGCUUUUAAACAACAAAAGAGAAAUUCUAGUCUCUCUUCAUCUCUUUCAAACAGCAGAUAACACUUCUUAUCUGCUGCAGCAACUAAAAUGCAAAUUUCUUACUCUUUCUUUCUCCAAAUACCAUCAACCAAAUAUGUCUCUCCUCCUCUCUCUCUUUCUCUCUUCUUCUUCUUCUUCUUUCUCCUCUCUUCUCUCCCUACUGUACCUGCAUAGCAGCAUGUCUUCUUUUUUUAAUUUUUCUCUCGUCUUCUCCUUUUUUUCCUUCUCUUUCUCGUCUUCUCGCACAGCAACAAAUCCUCUUAUUCUUUUCCUUUUUUUUUUUUUUAAAAAUUCUCUCUUCUUCUAUUGCUGCAAAUAAUAUAUGUAUUUCUUUUGAACAUGUAGUUUUUCCUUUAAAUAUGGGUGUUCAUUGAAGGGUAUAUAUAUAUAUAUAUAUAUAUAUAUUUAAAAUAUAUAACAAAAUUUUGGCUUUAUUGCCUUUUUUAAAAAGGCAUUGCCUCGCCUCUCGCCUCUCCUAUCGCUUUGGUGUCGCCUCUCGCUUUGAUAACACUGGCUACACUGAUGAUAAUAGUUAAAGGCUCUAUCAUGAGGUGGAAAAGGAAAACUCAGUUUUUCUGCAGGUUAUUGGUGUGGUACAUGGGCAUUUUUCUUGUUAAUUUGUUUGACAUGGACUUCUGUGUGAGCAUGUGCUUCUCUGUAUUAUCAUUCAUGCAUGUUUUUCUACCUCAAUGGAAUUGGUUUAAUCUUGCAGGUUUAUAGAGAUUCGGAGUCAACACCAAUGGUUUGCUGUGACAUUUGCCAGCGGUGGGUGCACUGCAGUUGUGAUGGUAUUAGGUCUGUUGCUGCCCUUGUUUAUAUUUCAUAAAUAGAGCCAUCUGGGACAUUGUUCUGAAGAUUGAUGAUGCACGUGUCUUUGGGUUUUUUUUUUUUUGUUUUAACUUAUCCAUGUGCUGUGUCUGCAGGUUACCUAUUAUUGUACAUGUUAUAUGUCAUGCUUGUUCUGAAGUGGCUGAGCAAUUGGUCUACUGUUUGCACGAAUUUUUAGUUAUAGGUUUACUAGUUAAAACUUGUUUGAUUAUGGACAAAUAUGAUACUGAAUUGUCCAGUUCUGUUGUUGACUACUUGUACUUCUGAAACAAAAAGAAUUUGGAGGAGCACGUGAAAAACAAAAAGACAACAGUUCCAGCAUAAACACAUAAGUGAAUAAAAGAUAAGAUAGAUUGAAUGAUCAACUUUCCUAAUGAUUUCUGCCACUUCUCUUGUCCUUAGAUUGGUAGGUCAAAAUUAGCUCAAACCUGUUGUGCAUAUAUUUAUUUUCAUUGAAGGGUGAGGAGGCCAUUUCAAAUUGACUGGGAAUGAAUACUUAUUAGAGCAAGGAAAGGUAUGAGCUUUAUCAACAAGUUAUUUAAUGUGGUUGAUGAGGGAUGAAAGCUAUGAAUGAGAUGGUAAAAAAUGAUGUAUUUAUUGCUUUGGAAAUUUAAUCGAAGUGGUGGAGAACAAAGUUAUAUAUGUGAAAAUAAAAUUAAGCUCCAAAUGUUGGUUAAACUUGGAAUUGUGGAACUGUUUGCUUAUAAUUUGAAAUGCAUUCCACAUUUGUGAUGUGUUCUUGGAAUGGAUGGAGCAUUUUUUUUAACUUUGCAAUUUUUUGAAGAAAAUGAACUGAGUGAAACUGGGUGGAGAUAUUAGACAGAUAUCUAGCUUUUGCAGUAUCUAUGUUCAGUAGCUUCAUGGAAUGACUUCUGAGCAUAAUACCUCUUUCUCUUUUUCUCGUGUGCAUGUGUGCUUACUUAACUGUGGGGCUAGUUGCUCUGCACAUUAGAAUGUGACAGAAUUUACUCUGAUACAGCUGUCCCUCCAAAGUAUGACAUUCUUGCAAUGUUUUGCAGCGAUGAAAAAUAUCUACAAUUUCAAGUGGAUGGAAAUCUCCAAUAUAAAUGUGCCACAUGUCGUGGAGAGUGCUACCAGGUUCUUACAAUUGGCAUUUCUUUAUCAUGUCUCUUGUUAGUUAUAUGAUUGGGGUGCGUGUGGAAGUCAUCUUCUGAAGUGUUUUUAAAUUAUACUUAAUUAAAUAUAAUUUAUAUUCCCAGGUAAAGGAUCAUGAAGAUGCUGUUCAAGAGCUUUGGAGGAGACGUGAUAAAGCUGAUCAAGGUUUAAUUGCAAGCUUGAGGGCUGCUGCAGGAUUGCCAACUCAAGAAGAUAUAUUUUCUAUUUCACUGUAUUCAGAUGAUGAGGAAAAUGGUCCGGUGAUGGUGAAGAAUGAUUUUGGACGUUCUCUAAAGCUCUCUCUCAAAGGCUUAGUUGAUAAGUCACCCAAAAAGAGCAAGGAACAUGGAAAUAAAUCUUCAAGUAAGAAAACUGCCAAGAAAAAGGGUCCUCAUAUGUCUUUACUUAGUAAGUCAGAACCACAGCAUGACUUUCAACCUUUUGGACACAUUCUGGAUGAAAACAACGAUGAUGACAGUGAUUCUCAUAAAAAGGGAGGAAACAUAUGCUCUUCUCCUGUGGCAGGAAUCAGGGAGCAUACUGAAGGAAUUUGUUCUGUUAAUCAGCCAGCAGUUUUGAAACACAAGUUUGUAGAUGAAGUGAUGGUAAGUGAUGGAGAGAAGACAUGUAGAAUUGUUAAGAUUAAGAGUAGCAAGUCUCAUGACUUGAAUAGUGGGGAUGAUGCUGAAAACCAGGCUAACAAGUUGAAAGCUGUGAAGGCAAAAAAGUUGGUUAUAAAUCUUGGUGCACGAAAAAUAAAUGUGACUAAUUCACCAAGAUCUGAUGCUUCAAGCUGCCAAAGAGAUCAAGAUUUGGCAACUUCCAAUGGUAUGUUUUCCAUUUAACAUUUGACAAAUUUUGGUAACUAGAAUAUGUGUUGUUAUGAUGGAAUUUUCAUAUUUACAUGUGCUGAGUUUUAACAUUGGUAUUUGUAAUUGCUGCUACUAGAAUCAUCAUCUUUGUGAUAAUUAAUUCGUUCUGGGUGCUAUAAUUUAUUGUCAUAUUAGUUGUUUUAUGAAUUUGAAGGAUGCUAUACCAUGAGUAUGAGUGUACCUGUAAGCACAAGUACUUGGUCUUUUUUUUUCUCCUUCAGUUCUUUUUCACUUAUUGAACAGUUUUAAUGGUAUGAUUGAAGAGUUUAUGUUAUAAUUAGUGAAUAAAUUAAAUGAUAAUUGGAGUUUAAGUAAUUUAAUAUGCCAUCCAUCCACAGAGUUUCCUCUUACAUGGCUGCAAUAAAUGUUAUGGCCACUGUGUUGAACUUUAUAGGUUCAUUUUAAUCUCAAUUUUUUGGUUUAGAUUUAGACAAGUACUUUACUGCUAUGGUAGUUCUGCUUUAGUUUUAAAAAAUCAUCUUGCUAAGAAGCCAAAAAAAGAAACAUAUACAAAGGUCAGGCGACGAUCAAUUUGAUUAUAUUUGUUCAAUACCAUGCUUUAUUUGUGUCCACAUUCCAUGUAUCUAAAAGACUUUGUUUUAUUGCUAUCUUGUUUUAGCAUAUGUCAAAUAUCUCUAUUGGGUUGAACUAUCAUCUCAUUUAUUCAAAUAAUAGCUUUUAUGCUCUUGAAAUCUGUUUUGCAGACAGUAAUGUAAAACUGAAUGAAGAGCAAGAAUUAAUCACGUUGUGUUUUGUCAUGGUCUACUAAUUGAAUGCUGCUUAGGUUUAGAUUUUUAUUUCAACUCUAUCCCUCUCCCUAUUUGGCUUAAUAUUCUAUUUUAUGGAGCAGGCAGUGAAGAUACAGGCCAACAUGGAAUGAGUGAUAGGCUUGUCGGGGAUAGGCAUGAAGGUACUACUAUAUUUGGUGAUGAUAAUGUACUUGUUUUCCAAUUCAUCAGCACAGAUAAUAUGUCCUCCUUGUGCUGCCAUUGGCUGGCAUCUAUAAAUGGAGGAUAUUAUUGUGGUUAUUUAUAAUAACUUCAUUGAUUCUUAUAUUUGCAGGUGAUACAGUUGAUCACUCUGGCCAAAUAAGAAGUUUGAAGUUUCCACGGAGAGAGGGAAAUUUUAUUAAGUUUGGAAAAGUGAAAUCUGAAACUUCCAAUUUAAAUCCCAGAUUUGACAGAGGGAGUGGUGCUGAUGGAGAUGAGGCCAUUCCUUUAGAUCAUACAAGUGUUUCAUCGGGCAAAAGAAGCAUUGAUUCAAGUAGGGUUGCAAUUGAACCAGCAGGUGAAGUCCCUGCUUUAAGAAGUGAGAAGACUUCUUCAGGGAAGCAGCCAGAAAUCAAGCCUGAGACAUAUACUGAAAGCAAUGAUGAUUCUGGUGAUACACCUAUUUUGCAAUCACUGCCAAAAGAUUCCAAAUUUUCAUUGAAGUUAAAGAUUAAAAAACAUAAUCUUCUAAACCAAUAUUCUCGAAAGCCUCCACCCGAGGAAGAAAAGAGUUCCAUAAGGGGCCAAAGAUCAAAAAGAAAGAGACCAUCAAGCUUGCUGGAAAAAACACUGUAUAAUGAAUAUGAAGAUGUCACACAAUCACAUCAAGACAGUGAGAUGAUGGAAGCUAGUUGGAUAUUAAAAAAGUUGGGAAAAGAUGCAAUUGGAAAGAGAGUUGAAGUUCAUCAACCGUUGGACAAUUCAUGGUGAGUUUUCCCUUUUUGCCCCAUCUCUGAGGAAGGGUGCUGUGAAAUAUGGGGAUGAACACAGGAACUAGAUUGUUAGGAAUUUUUGUAGUUAUGAAAAAGAUAUUAUACAUAGGAAGGUCAAAGGUGUAGACCAGGGAGCAUCUCACUCACAUCCUAGAAUUAGAACCUGUUUAGAAAUGAGGUUGAAACUGCCUUUUUAGACAAGCACCCAUUUAAUGCUGUAGGAAGUUUGAAAUAGCUAUCUGUUCUUUUGAAGUUAUUGUAUUAAAACUUGUCAAGUUUAAACCAAAGCAAGAAUUUAAAACAAUGUUUUACUCAACAACUCAAGCGACAAUGUUACACCGACCCUAAUAUAUUUUUAAUCAUAACUCAUCUAUUUCUGUUCUAAAGCAAGAAACAACCUCCUAUGGGGUGUUAGAGGUCAGUGUUCUCACACUUAUUUGCAUCUCCUUGAUUUGUGUGCAGCAUGUUCCUUUCUCCUACUUGGACAGAAUGUAUUUGCUGUUAUAUUGAGAUUAGAAUGGGUUUAUAACCCUCCAUGUCAUACUUGGAUUUUUUGUUUUAGAUGUUUGGGUUUUUUUUUCUCUUUUUGACUGUCGAUGAUGACUUCAUGAUUCAGGCAUAAGGGAGCAGUCUCCAACAUGAUUGAAGGCACUUCGACAUUGUCUGUUACUUUGGAUGACGGUAGAGUAAAAAGCUUGGAACUUGGGAAGCAAGCAGUUCGAUUUGUUCCUCAAAAGCAAAAGAGGUCAACAACAUGAAUGUAGAAUUAGUUUGCAGUUGUUCAUAUACCGAAUUUGGAGACUUCUUCCAUAUUAGAGGUGAAGCAGCAGUCUCCAUUCCUUGAGACCAAACGGAUUCAAGUUACAUUUUCUGGUUUCCAUAUGGCUGCUGAUUCUUCAUCAAAGCUUUGUCAAUGGGGCAAUUCACUCGGUUACAUGAAAUAAUCCUGGACAACCGGGGAUUAUUUCAAAGGAGGCUCUAUUUUUACUUCCUUUCCUCGUUCCCCUCGUGUAUUUGAAUGAUUAUUUGAUUUAGAAAUGUAGCCUUUUCUUUUGGAUGUUGUAUGUAGGCAUCUAGGCAAACAUGAUUGCGCUAGCGUCGUAAUCAGUGCAUAGUAAGUGGCGUUUGCCUUGUUAAUUGUAGCUAGAAACAUGGAAUUAAGGUCAGACGGUCAGGCUCUGUUAUGCUCAUUUGGUUUAUAGGAUUUGUAAGGCUCCAUGGACCAGACUUCAUUCUAGUGUUUGCCAUUAAGCUUCAAAUCCUUUUUGAAGUAAAAUCAAUCGUUGCCAUAUUUGGUUUAUCCUAGCGGCGUAUAAAUGGAGGAAAUAAACCUUUCUUCAUUUCUAUUUAAUCCUCGUAUAAAAACCUUGGAUGGUUCAGAAUUAGAUAUUAUGAUAAAUUAUAGUUAACAAAUUAAUAUGGUGGUCGUUAGUUUAGUGGUCUUUCUAAUGGUUCAAUGAUCUGAUUCUAAUUGCAGCUAUUUAAAAAAAAAANNNNNNNNNNNNNNNNNNNNNNNNNNNNNNNNNNNNNNNNNNNNNNNNNNNNNNNNNNNNNNNNNNNNNNNNNNNNNNNNNNNNNNNNNNNNNNNNNNNNNNNNNNNNNNNNNNNNNNNNNNNNNNNNNNNNNNNNNUUUUUUAAAGUUUAUUUUAUCAUUGAUACCACGUGGUUUUGGUACAAAUUCCAUAGUGCAUUCGAAUCAAACUAGAAUUCUAACUACAAUUUUAUGAACUCUUAAAAUAUUAACCUAACCGAAUUGAAAUUAAAAAAUUAAAUUUAAUUAAAAUCAAAAUAUUUAAUCAAUUAUUGACUCUGAACUAAUUAAAAUAAAAUAAAAAAAUUAUAUUUUAUAGUAUUAAUUACUUAAUUAUAUAAAUAAAAAAUAUAAUAAUAAUAAUAAAUGCAACUUUUUUUGAAAAAUAAUAAUUAUAAAAUUAGUAAAUUUUACAAAAAUAAUUAUAAAUAAUAGUUUAUUAAUAAAAUUAUAAAUAAUAGUUUAUUAAUAAAAUUAUAAAUAAUAGUUUAUUAAUAAAAUUAUAAUUAAAUAUAUUAAUUAAUACAAGUUUAGUUAUUUUGUAUCCAUAACUGAUACUUGAAUUUUUUUUUUAUAUUAUUAAUCAUUCGGUAAUCCAACUGAACGGACUUCUCCCAAAAUUAUCGAAUUCGCUUAUAACCGAAUAAUGCACGUGCCUACCCACUUUCCAGCCUCGCCGUAUAUUCGCAUCGCGAGUUUCUGAACACACUAGCAGUCGAGGACGGAGGCGGCGACGGGUUCAAACUCCCCUGUGAACGCACCCUUUCCCAGCUUCAAAGAGAAAGUUCGAAAAAGCCAUGAAUGCUCCCGAUCGCUACGAGCGAUUCGUCGUCCCAGAGGGCACUAAAAAGUAAUUUCACGAUCUCUCUCCCUCUCAGAUGUCUCUCCAAAAUCUUCUGUUUCUCUAUAACUCACCAAGUCGCCAUUUUCCUUUUGCUCUUUCUCCAUUGUGUCUUUUCCUUGUACAGGGUUUCGUAUGAAAGAGACACGAAGAUCAUAAAUGCGGCGUCGUUUACUGUAGAGAGAGAGGACCACACCAUCGGCAACAUUCUUCGCAUGUACUUAAUAGCUCCUUUUGUUUCUUAAUUUUUGUUGAUUGUAGUUAAUUGAACUCUAAUUUCUUUCCGUUUUUGUACAAAUUUUUGGUGUAAUUAGGCAGUUGCACAGAGACGAAAAUGUUCUCUUUGCAGGAUACAAGCUCCCUCACCCUCUCAAGUAUAAAAUCAUUGUUAGGGUUAGUAUUUUUUCUCUUUAAUGUAUAUUUGCAUGCAUUAAUAUAUUUGUGUUUGAUAUUUUUAGGUUUUAUUGGAAAUUGAGUGGUUAAUGGGUUUAUGGUUUAGCUUCAUCAAAAUGAAUUUUGAGUGUGUUUUGAAUGAAUUUAUAAAUGGUAUAAAGUGCUCAAUGUGAUAUUGGGUUCUCAUUUGUGUGCAAUUUAUCUCUAUAUCAUUACAGCUACUGGAUUUUGAUGUGAUUAUGGCUUCACAUUCUAAUAGAAAAUGAAUAUGUGCCUUGCAACAUAUUCAAAUUUGUAAAAAUGGGAUCUUUUUGGUUAAGCUAAUUAACAAUUUAAGUUUAGAAGCUAGUAACUUGUUGUUCAUCUAUUUUUGCAUCUACUUUUGCACAAGGGCCGGCUUGUGCCUUCUCUUCAUUGCUUUUUUUAUUUUUCAUUUUUUUUAUUGUGUAUUGAAGAAAAAAAAAACCCUUGUAUUUGGCAUAUAAAGGAGCAUCCAUUAGAGGGUAGGUCUAAUUGUUUAACAUUGCAACUUCAUGGAGGUAAGUGAGUAGCUUAUAUGAUGCAUGGGCAGAUCCUAUCAUCCUUUAGUUUAAAACUUGGGUAACUAGGAAUGUGCCAAAUGUAUUGAAGUUUCAUGCUUUAACCUAUUUGAUAUGGUUUUGUAGAUCCAUACAACUAGCCAGUCUUCGCCAAUGCAGGCAUAUAACCAGGCUAUCAAUGAUUUGGACAAGGAAUUUGACCAUUUGAAGAAUGCAUUUGAGGUAAAGCAUCUUCUUUUCCUGACCAGCCAUUAUUCCAUUGAUAGCCUGUUAUGUAACAUUUUGUUUGGUAUUCCAGACAUUCUACUUUAAGAAGUACAUUACAACUUAGUUGAUCCCAGAGUCUAUAUAACAUUUUGUUUAGUAUUUGUUCUUCUCUGUGUUCCUUUAGCAUGAUUAUUAAUCUGAGUAAAUAGUAGAAGAGCAUCACGUGAUCCUUAAUUGUAGUGUUGCAGUAUGUAGACUCAUUUUCUGGGGGAAUGUCUCAAGGUAAGAUCGGACAUACAAAAAUGUCAGCUUUUGAGGUGUCUAGUUCUGCACAAAACUUAAUUGUUUUGAAACUUAUUCAUUUGUUUUUCUUUGAGAUAGAUCCUUAUUCUCGGGAGAUAUUUUGAUGCCUUUCUUAGUUCCUAGACUCCCUUUGCCUCUUUCUUUUCUUGUUUGCCUACCUGAAGAAUGUAGCAGAAAUUGUGGUGGAUUUUUUUUCCAAAUACUCUGUGGGUGCAACCUGCUUUAAGCAGCUUUAAUGUGUUGAGUAGAUUCAAUUUAUGGAUAUAUCAUCUAGAUGCAUCUUCUGGCAUGGUUCAGCUCUGAUAGGGCUUUGCACUGUAUGCAAUAAUGCUAUAGAUUUGUCAGAUUGUCCAGAGUUGUUUGUUCCAAUAGAGGGUCUACGCCUGUUUAUAUUGGCCCCUAUAGGUAUAAUGUUUAAGAUGUUAUGUCUGAGAUUUACCGUGUGUUUGCUUUGUUAUGUAGCGAGUAGCCAUUGGCCACUUGAUGAGUUAAAUAGUAUUUUACUGAUUGAUUAUGUGGCAAACUGCAAAAUGCUUCUAUACUUAAUUUUGUCAGCAAAAUAUUAGUGGGUAGUUGGCUGGGAAAUUAGUAGAGCUUAUCUUUAUAGAAAUGGAAUUUCUUGUUGAACUUGUUAUAUUUCCCAUUAAGUCGUUGCAUCAUGGAACUUCUAACGACAAUUGUGAGUUUAAUAAAAAUGAGUUGUAUGGUGUGAUAGUUUGGUCCUAAGACUUGCACCAUUUCACAUGAUGAACACUGAUGCGACCUUCUCACGGGCAUAUUGGAAAAUAAAAUUUUAGUUUCGGGGGUCCUGUUCUGAAAAAUAAGCCUUCUUACUUGUUGGUCUGUAUUCUUGCAAUUACUUUGGCUACCUUACGCUUAGAGAUCUCAAUAUUCUGGUUUUAGACUAUUAACAAACUGGUAAAUCUUUAGAGGAUAUCGUUGUUUAGGUUGAAUAAUCUUUAGACAUGAUGAGAAGAAUUAAAAAUAAUAUGCACUUUUUAUCAUUCACAUCUUUGCUGUUGAGCGUGUAAAUAUCUGAUAAAAUUUGAUUCUGAUGUUCCCAAAAUUUCUGCUUGUAGGCUGAGCUGGCAAAAUUUUCUCGGGAUUACUAGCACAUGACGCCAGAAAAGAACCAGGGUGAAAGGACAUUCAGUUGAUCAAGCAACGAUCUGUGUUGUAUCAAGCUGAUUGCUUAAUAUUACACCUAUGUUUAUCAUCUUAAUCAGUGUUUAUUAAAUCCUUCCCUGAUAUGAACCUUGAUGUCUGCAUGCACCUGGCGUCUUCCAUGGCACUGUUUCUAUUGUUAUGCAAACCUUAAAUUUCAUUUUGAUAUCCUUUCCUUUUGUCAAUCUCCAUAGCAGAAAAUAAUGGUCUGCAACUCUUGGCAAUAUAAAAUUUGCACCAGAAUCAUCUUCUUCUUUGAAGAUGCAGAUUCAGUGCAGCUGUUUGCAUGCAAGGUCUGGAAAACGUCCUCUAUGUUUUAAGAGAUUGUCGUUUUGCUCACCAGGUUUGUAGGAGAAUCAGGCCUCCCGAAGGAUGGCAAGCUUUCACAAACUAAGAGCUCAGAAUGAAGCGCUGGUUGUUAUACCAAUUUUUUUUUAAAAAGAAAUAUAUUUAAAUUUAUCAAUUUCGGGUUUAAAUUUUAGUCUUAACAAAAUUAUUUUUCAACCAAAAUAAUGUUUUAUUAUAAAUAAGUUAUAUACUAAUCAAGUGCUGAUUCAAAUUAAUUGAAGUUGGCUGUAUAAAUUAUUAUUUUUAAAUUAAAAAUAAAAGGAAAAGUCUAGCAGAAUUUAUUUAUUUUCCCGCACGCUAUGAAGAUAGGAAUUACUUCAACUUGUAGAAAUGAAUUUGAUUUUAUCUAUUCACAAAAAGUCCAACAUGAUACACGUGUUUCUUAUUAUUAUUAUUAUUAAUUUUUUUGAAGGUUUAUCAUAUUAUGCUAAUAAAUACUAGGGUAAAUUAUAGUUUAGUCCCUCUAAUUUAAUGAAAUAUUUAUUUUAGUUUUUAUAUUUUUAAAAACCUACAAUUUAAUCUUUUAUAUUUAAAAAAACUGUAAAAUAGUCCUUAUCGUCAAAUUUUCAGUUAACCUCCCGUUUAUUUUAAUGGAAAUGACUAAACUAUUUUUUAAAUAAAAAAAAUCAAAUCAAACACUAUUUUUCACUUCCAAAUCAGCCCAUCUCACUGCUUCUCCUUAUCGAUCCUCUUCUUUCUUUUCUUCUCAUCCUUCUCCUUCUUUUUUCGAUCCUCUUAUUCCUUUUCUCCUCAUCCUUCUUCUUCUUCAUUUGUGUUUGAUUUCAUGUAAUUGGAGAAUGGUGAAUCAAAGAUUUCCCAUUAGCAAUUAAGGAAGGGUGAGGAUUGGAAUGAGGAGAAGAAGAAGGAGAGGAUUGGAGAGGGGAGGUAGUGGGAUGAGGAGAAGAAGAAUGAGAGCAGCCGUAACUAAGAAGAAGAAGAAGGAUGAAGAGAAGAAGAAGGAGAAGGAUGAGGAGAAGAAGAAGGAGAGGAUUGGGGAGAGGAGGUAGUGGGAUGGAGUGAAUAGUGUUUGGUUGAGUUUUUUUUUACUUAAAGGGUAGUCAAUUAAGGAAGGGUGAGGAUUGGAAUGAGGAGAAGAAGAAGGAGAGGAUUGGGGAGGGGAGGUAGUGGGAUGAGGAGAAGAAGAAGAAGGAGAGCAGCUGCAACUAAGAAGAAGAAGAAGAAGGAUGAUGAAGAGAAGAAGAAGGAGAAGGAUGAGUAGAAGAAGAAGGACGGGAUUGGUGAGGGGAGAUGGUGUGAUGGAGUGAAUAAUGUUUGAUUUGAUUUUUUUUAUUUAAAGUGUAGUUUAGUCAUUUUCAUUAAAAUAAACAGGAGGUUAAUUGAAAAUUUGCCGAUAGGAACUAUUUUACAGUUUUUUUAAAUGUGAAAAAUUAAAUUGUAGAUUUUUAAAAAUAUAGGAAUUAAAGUAAAUAUUUCAUUAAACUAGAGAGAUUAAACUAUAAUUUAUCCUAAAUAUUAUGUGUAUUUUAUAAAUGUAAAUAUAAAUUAAUAAAAAUUUGUUACAUUAAAACUUUAACUAAAUAAUUAAAACUACGAAUAAAUUUAAAGUGAAUAAAUGUAAUUGAUGGAAAAUAUUUUUUAAUUAAAAAAUUUAAGUUAUUUUAAAGAAAUAACUUUCACAAUUAAAAGAAAAAAGUUAUUUUUUCACUAAAUUUUAUUAACAUUAAAAAAUUUAAGUUAUUUUAAAGAAAUAACUUUCACAAUUAAAAGAAAAAAGUUAUUUUAUUAACAUGUUUACAUAUAAAUUUAUUAAUAUAUUUUAUUUUUUAAAUUAAAAUUAAAUAAUAAAAAAUAAAUUUUUUGUUGAAAAAUAUAUUUGAUAAUAAAUAUUUCUUGAAUACAAAAUUUUCAGUAAUUAAAUCCGUCUUCCUCCUCAUUCUCUCUCUAGAAUCUUCUUCGAUCAUUACAAUACAAACGCAUCCUUUUACUCUCUCCCUAAAGUCUUUGGCAACACUUGUCUCUCAAGCUCUCCAAUCUCCAGAUCCUAUCUAUGUAAGCAACUCACUUUCUGAUUGUCUCCCGAGAAAAUUUUUAAUGAACGAAGUUUCAUUCUUUCCUGUUUCAAUGCAUAUUUUGAUUGGUUGAGUUUUGAAGUAGUGAGGUAUACUCUCUGAGUGGUGAAAUACUGUUCUCUCUCUCUCUCUCUCUCUCUGUCUCUCUCUCUCUCUCUCUCCAGUUCCAGUGGUUUAAUUUUUUUUUUUUUGGGUCUCUUCCUACUGGUAUUGUUUUUUUUUUCUCUCGGAGAUCAAACAGAAGGAAUGCUAAUGGAUGUGCUCUGAUGUUGACUUGUUGCUUCAUUUCUACAUCUGGCAAUGCAGUUUUAUUUAGUAAUUAAGUACCGAUUGAUUGUCUCAUGUAGUAAUUGAAGUUUCAUUUUUUGGAUAUUUUUGUAGAAUUGAGAUUGAAGCUUUUCUUAGCAAUGGAGGUUGCACAACAGCAGCAAAGUGAACCCAUCGGUAAUUGAUUUUGUUUUUCUUUUUUUAAUUAACUUCUUAAGCAACUAAAAGCAUAUGUGUGCAAGUUAGUAAAUUGAAGUUCUUUAUAAGUUACCAGUAUGAAUAAGGAUUCUCAGCUAUUUUGUUAUUCCGUUUAAAUAUUUAAUGCGACAUUGUUGCAAAAUGCAAGCUCAAUUUGAUGAGCAAGUUGAUUGGGGAACAAAUUGGAAUGUAUUGGGAGCUGCACCUGUAAUUUAUCCGUAUGCAGGAAGUUCGGUUCAUGGUAAUGAUUUAAGGCAUACUAAACUGAGUAGUAGAAGAGAUGAUUUACUUCAUAAACCUGGUUAUGCUAAUUGUUCUUUUAGAAAUAUAUUUAACAUGCGCUUGGGCCUUGGAGAUCUUUCAAUUUGACUUGUUGAAUUCUCUCGCAAAUCUGUCCUUAUGAUCAAUUUCAAGUCCAUUUAUUGUUGGAUAAUUUUUUUUUUCUUAAUUUACAUUCUUAUGCACAAACGUUAAGCUGUUGCUCCACUGGUAAGAUUCAAGGUACAGAAUAGCUUUGGUGAGUUGAAUUGUUUUCAUUUCUUCUUUGAGCUGAAUUGGAUGACAAAUUUUGUGCUAAUUUCAAGUCUGUUAUUUUUCUUAAAAGUAAGGCGAAUGACAUAAUUUCCUCUAAAUGGAAGUGAAAUAAGACACGUAAUCUUGAACUGUUCUAUUGGUUUUGUUUCCCAAUAAUCAUAUUGUAGGGUAAAAGCAACAUUUGCUUUUGUCCCUCUUUAGUUGAAUCAUGUGAUACUCACUAGUUGUUCAUAUCCUGUAAUUUGCAGGCCAAGAAGAUGAAAAUGAAAUAGUUACUGAAAAUGCUGCUUUUGUGCAUUCUGAUCCUCCUCAAGUGGGUGAUGGUCCCCCAAAAGUUGAUACCGAGGUGGAAAUCCUACAUGAGAAGGUCACAAAACAAAUCAUUAAGGAAGGACAUGGUCAGAAGCCAUCCAAAUAUUCAACAUGCUUUUGUAAGUACCAGACAGCAUCAAGAUAGUGCCAUUUACUUUUUUGCUGACAACUUGUGCAUAUAACUCUUGACAAACAAGGAAUUUUUUACCCCCAGGUCAUGGGUGGUAAAGGCAUAUGUUCAUCCACUAUAUUGCUAGAUUUGAUAUAUAAAGUUUUUUACUCUGUUUUAAGGUAGGUCUUUUCAUGUAUAGAUGAUGGUUUCAAGACAUGUUAUCAAGUUGUUUUUUUUUUUUUUUGAAUUUUAACCCGGUUCCCUUUGUAAAUUUCCUUUGUCUAAGGUUUUGCAGUUUGCAGAAGAUUUCUAUCUUAUUUCCUGCAGUAUUAGGAAGCUAUUUGUAUUGCUUAUUGGAUAUCUUUUAUAAUGUGGAAAUUUUAUAGACAUUCCAUUGAGAGGGUUAUUCUUUAGUGAAAUAGCCAUUUCAUUUUAAGAUGAUGUUGGAUGGGCAUGCAAGUUCUCAUUAUCGGUUGUUUCUGGAUGUAGGGUGCUCCUUUUUUGCUUACGUUUGCACAUAUUUUGGAGUGUUUUGCUUUCAUGCCCUUAUUUGUGUCAACAAUAGGAUAUUAGUACUACAAGAUGAAGAGUCAUGGUUAUUUAAACAAUUAUGAGUUUAUUUGGUUUGACUGCUUAAAAUCUACUUUUUAAUUUAUAAGCCAAUUUAACAAUAAGUAGUUUAGUGUUUGGUUAAUAAGUGCUAAAAGUAACUUAUUUUGUUGAAAUAACCAGAAAGGGUUUGUAGUAUUUUUAACUGUUGAAAGUUUGAAAAACAAUGGUAGUAUUGGUCUUUCUAAAAGUUAUUAGUAUAAUAUAGUGUUUUACUUGGUCAAAGAGUAGUUUAAGUAAAUAGAUAAUCAAAAGCAAGGAUACCUUAUGACUUCUGGCUUAUUUUAAAUAACUUUGUGUAACUUGUAAGCCAGAUCAAACACUGUUUUACUUAUGAUAUUGUUAUGUGAUCUCCAGAUCUGCGAAAGAGAGGAGAAGGAAGAUAGACAGAAGGGAGGGAAAUAGAGGGAAAAGAACUAGGAGGAAGGGAUCAAGAAAAAAAAGAGGGAAAGAUGGAGAAAGAGAGAAAGAGAUAAGAUUUGUAUUUGACUGAAUUGAUGUGUCAAUUACAAUCCACUUGGGCUAUUUAUACAUCACCAAUCUCAUCUCUUUUUAUGUAGCUAACUAACUAAUAGACUCGCUAGUCACUACCCACUCUACCAUUAGUCAUAACGGAUUUUCUUCUUAUAAGUAGGUUCGAUUGACUUAUAAGCCAAAACGAGAUGCAUUCUGUAUAUGUCUAUGGUGUCACAUUGUGAUUCUAAUCAGUUGGCGAUAAUAUGAAUAGAGUAACUAGUCGUUCUGCUUUUUGUGGUUGACUUCUUCUCUUUCUUAUCUAUUGAAUUCAGAACAUGUUAAUCUUGCUGUUGUUUUUCUUAGGCUUGCACGUUUUGUUUAUGUGAAGUUCAUUAUGCUGUCUAUGGGGUACUGACCGUCCCACCUAUGUGCUAUUGUUAUGCAUGUCUCUUUGUCUUCUACAUACAUGCACAUUUUGUUUCUUGGAAGGGUCUUUUUCUUUUUUAUUUUUAAAUAAUGUGGAUUCUUCAGUGUAUCUGGAACCUAAAACUCUGUAACUGCGUGAGCACAAUAGUGCACUACAGAGCAUGGACUGAAAGCACCCAGCACAAGUUUGACGAUACAUGGCAUGAACAGCGACCAGUUGAAAUGAUCAUAGGAAAAGGUAUACAUAUUGCAUCCUUUUUUUUCUUUCAAUAUAGUUGUAUUUCUUCUUUCUUCAGAAAGGUGGCAGGAAAAUUUAGAUAUAUUUUCUUUUUCUUUCCAUUAAAUUUGUGCUGUAAUACCUUCCAUGAUUUUCUUGCACUCUAUAACAUCAAAAUAAUUAGCUGUUACCUAAAUUCUUAGUGAUCAAUGCGGAUGAAUGGGUGCCAAACUCACAAAAUAGACCAUCCACUUAUAUAUUUGUGUGGAUUUGAUUGUUUGUAAUUGACUCAAACUUGGAAGGGUUUAACAAUGCCUGGUAAAUUAUCCUACAGGAAUCUAAUUGAAGAAUGUGAUAUAGUUUUACAUUGUUAUUGAUACAUUUAUAUUAUAUUUCAUAUCCUUGUUAAGUUUAUAAUCACAUUGGUUUGUUGCUACUGUUAUACUGUUGAGUGUAUAACUAAACGUUUGUGGAUUAUGAAUAUGACAGAGAAGAAAGAAAUGAUGGGUUUAGCUAUUGGUGUUUCCAAUAUGAAGACUGGUGAACGUGCUCUUCUGCAUGUCGGCUGGGAAUUAGGUUAUGGGAAAGAAGGAAGUUUUUCUUUCCCAAAUGUUCCACCCAUGGCUGAUAUAAUAUAUGAAGUUGAGCUUAUUGGUUUUGAUGAAACCAAAGAAGUAAGUUACAACCUAAAUGAUUCCUUUUGAUAACAGUUCUAGAUCUUCAGUAUUUUGAGUUCAAAUCAUAUUGGCUUUGUUUUGUUCUUGCCAAUUGAAUGAUCUAAGGAUGUGAUGUUGUUAAGGGAAAAACUCGUGGUGACAUGACUGUAGAAGAGAGGAUUGGAGCAGCAGAUCGUAGAAAAAUGGAUGGAAAUGCUUUAUUUAAAGAGGAAAAACUUGAGGAAGCCAUGCAACAAUAUGAAAUGGUUGAACCUUAUGCCAUUGAGUAAUAAGUUUGCUUUGGAGUAGUUUUUAUGAUCUUAUUAUUUCUGUAGUGUUCUUGAUAAAUUCUAGUGGUUGUCUUCAUAUUAGGCCGUUGCAUAUUUGGGUGACGACUUUAUGUUCCAACUGUUUGGCAAAUUUCGAGACAUGGCAUUGGCAGUCAAGAACCCUUGCCACCUUAACAUGGCAGCAUGUCUGAUAAAGCUUAAGCGCUAUGAAGAAGCCAUUGGGCAAUGCAGUAUUGUGAGUAUAGUGAAUCAAUUUGUCUUUUCUGUUCACGUAUUCAAAGGAUUUGCCAAUUUUGGAAUUCUUUGUGAUAACGGUAUAAGCUAGAGAAAUACCUUCAAAAGCUUACUAUCAUUCCAUUAAAUAAAACCAUCAACAUUAAUUCCAGUCAUUCUGAUACGUUUUGAUUAGGAGUAAGAAUGGUUCCGUUAACUUACUCCAAAAUUCAAACUGAAACCGGUUUCCAAUCUGCCUGCUGUGUUUGUGGUCAGUUUUCAUUCCCUUUUCAUAUUCAAACUUUUUUCAUAUAGUCAACUAACUAAUUAAAAAUAAUUUAUUGUUAUCUUACAUGUAUCAAAACUAAUAAGAAUGUAAAAUAAUAAUUUAUCAUUCAUCAGAACUUGCAACUUAUGAUACCUCGGACCUACUUCAAAGACAGUUGCUGCUUCUUAAGAUUGGAAGUAUGAAAUGAUUUAACAUUUAAACAGGGUUUCAUUGUGCUGAUCGUUUAUGUGAUUUUCUGCUUUGAUGUUAAGUCAGAGAUUUGAAGCUGUCAACUAAAUAUUUAAUCCAUUAAUGGGUUCUCAGGUAUUAGGAGAGGAUGAAAACAAUGUCAAAGCAUUGUUCAGAAGAGGAAAGGCUAGAGCAGAACUGGGGCAAACAGAUGCCGCCCGUGAAGAUUUUCUAAAGGCUCGUAAAUAUGCACCUGAAGACAAGGCAAUUGCAAGAGAGCUGCGUUUGAUUGCUCAACAUGAGAAGGCUGUAUAUCAAAAACAAAAGGAGAUAUACAAGGGAAUUUUCGGACCACCACCAGAGCCAAAACCUAAGGCAAAGAAUUUUGUGAUACGCAUUUGGCAAUGUCUGAUUGUCAUUUGGCAAUGGCUGCGGUCGAUCUUCUACCGCCUAUUUAAGCGCGAAAGUCACAAAUCUGACUAGUUAAAAGAGUUCAAAUUGACAGAAGAAUGAUAACGAAGCAAAAUGUACUAAAGAGGAAUUGAUUUUCUUAAAUGCCAAAGGUGUUCAUAAACUUAUUUUCCAUGCUACUUUGAAUUUAUUCACUUCUGUGCCUGGAUGUGUAUGAACUUUCAAGUUUGUGAAAAAGAUGGUUCUUUAUUAUUAGAUUUGAAGAUAAACCGAUCAGUUUGUGAAUCAAAUUCAUAAAAGAGCUCUCUUUAUUUUUCUUUGCAUAUGGGUCUUAUUUACUUGCUUUGAUACAAAUUGUACAGAUAUCUUGCUUCUUUCAGGUGCUUUUCCCAAGCUAAUUGUGUUGGAACUUUCCUGGAAAUGAACUAUCUGAAGUUCAGUCCAAGAAAAUUCAAAAAAGAAGACAAAUCCAUUCAUUAAACACCACAACCCAGACGCAGAAGCUGUUCUGGUCCCAGCUAUCUACCAUGAUUGCGUAAGCAUGGAGGUCCAAGCACAGUACGCACAGACAAUUUGUUGAGAGAUAUAUACAUAAACAGCAAAUGCCAAGCUCAUCAACACUACAUCUUUCCAGUCACCCUUUUGUUUUGGACUCAUGGUAUCCUUCAACCUUCCACCAAAUUUCUCUGCACUGCCAAAGAUCUGCCUCAAAAUCAGUUGCUUUUCUUGCUUCAUUUCUUUCUUUUCUUUUGGGCUUGAAAUGUCUACCGAUUCUCCUCUUUGACAAGAAAUAACAACGAGGAUACUUGAGCAGUUUCUGGGUUUUAGUCCUUGAAUUGAACUUUUGUUCUUGUGGAGAUAAGAAUGGCCUAAUGAGAGAGUUGCCAUGGAAGGAAAGAAAAGGUUUUUUUUUAAACAAAAGUUGAAGGUGAAAUAGAGAAGAAAAGUAUUUGAAUUGAUGAAUUAUGUUGGAGAUGUUUAAUGUUUGACCAUUGUAGAAGAUAAAGCAAUUAUUGUCAGUGGAAUACAAGAAAAAUAUCUUGCUGGGAAAAUCAAAUGUUAACCUUUGAUUUUUCAGUGGAAAUGGAUAAGAUAUUACUAAAAAUCAGAACAAUUUGAUUUCGGGUCAUUUUGGAUUUGGUCUAACCAAAGGCCCANNNNNNNNNNNNNNNNNNNNNNNNNNNNNNNNNNNNNNNNNNNNNNNNNNNNNNNNNNNUUCUUUUCCUUUUUUUUUUCCCUACUUUUUGUUAAUUCUCUAGCUAUCAAGAUGACAAGAUCUUUAUGUUCAUGAUUUUGAGAUGAGAGGAGAUGAUUUUGAGAUGUUAAAGAUAUUUUAAUAGGUUAACAUAAUUAAAAUUUUUAUUAUUUAAUCUCUAUAAAUUUAUUAAUUUCUAUAAAUAUUAAUAAAAAAUUUUACAGAAAAGUGGUAAAUUUUUUAUUUCAUUAAUUAGUCGUUCAAAUCUUUUAUUAAUAUUCAAUAGUUUGUAAUUUAUAUUUAGAAGUAAAAUUAAAGUAAUAAAAGUACUUGAUUGUCAUAGAAAUUUUUUUUAACUAAAUUAAUUGUUCAAAAUUUUUGUAUUUACAAAUUGAAAUUCGAUAGAUAUUUUGUUUUAAAAUUAAAUACAAGUUAAUGUAACAAUUUUUUAUCAUCCAAUUCAAACUUAAAAGUUUUACUUUUAUUUUCGCUUUAUUUUAAAUAUAUUUAUUUAUUCAGUUUUUAUAUGAUAUAUUAUGUUAUUGUUUUAUUAAUAUUUAAUUUAUAAUGUCAAUUUAAUUUUAUGAUUCUUUUUUUUUAUGCUAUUAUGCCGAAUUAUUUAUUUAUUUUAAAUUUAUAUUUUUCUCAACUUUCAAAUCUUUGAAUUUAUGUUACUUUGUUGAAAUAUAAUAUCUAUAAAAUAAUAAAAAUUUAUUAAUAUUAUUUACAGCAUAUUUUGUCGAUAUAAAUAUAUAAAAUAAGAGAGAAUACUGGGUGAGUUGGCUUAAUAACCUCUCCGAUACUUAUUUAAGUCAAUAUGUAUAAUAAGUAAAUUAUAAAAUUAACCGUUAGAGAGAAGAGAGUUACCUAAUUAUGGAUGAUUAUAGAGAUUGUGAGCUCUUAUAAAGUUUGGUAUGAUACGAAAUCUUAGAUAAAAUAGAAUACGGAGUCCAUAUAAUAUGAAAUUUUAUCAAAUAAGUAUAAUAUUCUAAUAUGGAUGAUAUCCUAUUGUGAUUAGAUUCUACCACCUUAUUUGAAAUUAUAAGAUAUUUGAAUAAUUGAUAUAAUUUAGAUUAUCGAAAUUCAGAUUUAAUAUAUUUUAAUAUUAAUCUACAUUAGUCCUCUACAGUAGUCGAAUCUUUAGAUUCGAUACCGUAUUAUUCCCUUUAACGAACUAAAAUAUAAGUAUUUCAAUAAAUGGAUUUGUAUGGUUAAAUAAAUGUUACUUAGAGAUUUGAUAUUACAUUGGUAUUAUGAGAAGUUGCAUGGACAUCAAAUACUGAUGAGGGUGUACAAAUCGCCUAAAGGGGCAAUUAAUUUACUAAAAAGGUGCUAGUAGGCAAUUGGUUGUCUGAAAGAGCACUUUUAUGUCGCUUAGAGAUGCUCUUACAUCACUUAAGUAAUUGAUUGUCUAAAAGGUACUUUUAUGUUAUUUAGGUACACUCUUACGUCGUCUAAGCCAGCAAUUGACGUUUUUAUAUCACCUAAGUGGGUAAUUAGUUAUUUGAAAGGACACUCUUAUGUCAUUUAGGAGCGCUCUUACAUCGCCUAUGUGACCAAUAGAUUGCUUGAAAAGGCGCGUACCUAAGUAGACAAUGGAUUGCCUGAAAGGACGCUUUUACUUCGCCUAAGUGCUGAAAGGGCAUCGCCUGAAGGCACUCUUACGUUGCCUAGAGAGACUUUUACAUCGCCUGAGAGCGCUCUUACAUCGCUUAAAAGUCGUUUAGGAGCACUCUUAUGUCGUUUAAGUGGAGCAAUUGAUUACCCGAAAGAGUACUCUUAUAUCAACUUGAUACACGACUUUUACAUUACACCUGAUAACACUCUUAAACCACUUGUUGCUUGAAUUUGAAAAAACCUGAUAACACUCUUAAACCACUUAAGAAAGUAAUAGGUUGCUUGAAUUUGGAUAAAGGUUUUUUAAUAUGUGGAUAACAUAACAUGUUAAAAUUUAUCUGUAAAAUUAAUUUUUAUACAAAAUAUAAAAGCAUAAAAUUUGAAUUAGUAUUUCUUCAUGUGAUUUUAAAAUUAAUCGGAGUUUAAAUCGAAAAAUAAAUGCAAAAGUAAAAAAAUUAUUACUUAACAUUUAUUAUUAAAUAUGUGUAAACUUUACCUUACAAAAUAAUUUGUAAUAGUUUUCUUUAUUGUCAUAAAAUAAUUUGUAAUAGUUUUUUUAUACAAUAAAGAGCUCUAAACUAUAGAUUUUAUAAAAUAAAUUUAAUAAAGGACUUAUAAAAUAAAUUUAAUAAAUAACUUAUAAAAUAAAUUUAAUAAAGGAAGCGGAUGAUGAAGAAAGUAGAGUAAGAAUGUGUAAUGGAUUGAUUCGAUUUUAAACUGAAAUUGAAAAUUUGAAAAAUUGAAAAACUGAAUUCAUUAAAAAUAUUAAUCGAAACUGAACCGAAUUGAGAGAAAAAUUAAAUCAAAUCCAAUUCCAUUAAUAAAUCUUCAUUCAACAGUGGCGCUUUUCUUUUCUUGUUCUCAUUAGUUUUCUUUCAAACUAGGGUACCCAGUCAGUUUGGGUAAUCAAACAAAUAUACAGAAAAUUAAUCAAAUACUUGAAUAUAAAAUAAAAAUCAUCAAAACCCUCAAAUUAAUUCAUCAAACCCAAAAUUCAAAAUAGCGAGAAGGUGAUUCAACAAAAAUACAAAUAAUUUUAGAAAUUGAUACCCAGAAAUUGAAAAAAAAAACAAAUAUAGAUCUAGAAAUUAAACAUGCAAAGUGGGUGGGUGAUUCAACAGACCAAUAGAUUCAUAAUCAAAUAACCAAAUAUCUAAAAUCAUAGAACCAACAAAUAUUUGCAUCAAAGAGAGUAGGCGAUUUAACAAAAUAUUGAUGCUUCUUGUGCGAUGACUACCAGAGUAAGGCACGNNNNNNNNNNNNNNNNNNNNNNNNNNNNNNNNNNNNNNNNNNNNNNNNNNNNNNNNNNNNNNNNNNNNNNNNNNNNNNNNNNNNNNNNNNNNNNNNNNNNNNNNNNNNNNNNNNNNNNNNNNNNNNNNNNNNNNNNNNNNNNNNNNNNNNNNNNNNNNNNNNNNNNNNNNNNNNNNNNNNNNNNNNNNNNNNNNNNNNNNNNNNNNNNNNNNNNNNNNNNNNNNNNNNNNNNNNNNNNNNNNNNNNNNNNNNNNNNNNNNNNNNNNNNNNNNNNNNNNNNNNNNNNNNNNNNNNNNNNNNNNNNNNNNNNNNNNNNNNNNNNNNNNNNNNNNNNNNNNNNNNNNNNNNNNNNNNNNNNNNNNNNNNNNNNNNNNNNNNNNNNNNNNNNNNNNNNNNNNNNNNNNNNNNNNNNNNNNNNNNNNNNNNNNNNNNNNNNNNNNNNNNNNNNNNNNNNNNNNNNNNNNNNNNNNNNNNNNNNNNNNNNNNNNNNNNNNNNNNNNNNNNNNNNNNNNNNNNNNNNNNNNNNNNNNNNNNNNNNNNNNNNNAUUUAUGUAAAGUAUAUAGCGACGAAAUUUAAAAAUAUUGUUAUAAAAUUUGUCACUGCAGUAGCAACCUGCAAAUGUAGUCGUAAAAAGUUUUACGAACCGAGUAUCAAACAUGGAAUUACGAUCAUCGCAACCAUGCUGAGUACGCUGGUAAGCCUUUUGUGAUGAGAAUAAAAUUCUUUAGCGACGGUAAUUAUUUUGUCGCAGACACUCAAAUUUCUAAUAAAAUAUAAGUAAAAUAUAUAUUUUAUUUUAACAGAUUUUGUCACAGAAUAAAUUGCUUUAGAGACAAAAAUAUUUCCACCACAAAAGUUUAAAUUUCUAAAAUAGUGUGAGGGAUAUAUAAGUCAGGGAGAGCACUUCUUAGUUCAAACUAAAAUAUCGAAUUGAUCGAUUUUAAUUGAGUAAUUCAAUUAUUUAAAAUAUUUAAUUUAAUUAAAAUAUUUUAAUUUUUAAUUUAAUUAAAUUUAAACAUAUUAAAUAAUUGACUAAUUAAAGUAACUGAUUUUCACUACAUACUAGCCCAAGUUACUCAACCCAACUCCGCAGCCUAGCCCCUUCCCCCUUUGACCCUUCAGCCCUUCUCUUUCUUUCCCCAUCCCCGGUUCAGUCUUUCCUCUUCUGCCUAAAACUUAAAAUCUCUAAUCCCCUUCCAAAUUCCUAAUCACUCAAAUUUUUAUUUGAUCAUAAUUUUUUUUAAAUAAUAAAAAAGUGUGAAAUAUAUAAUUUUUAUAUCAUUUUUCAUUAACGGUAUUAAUAAUAUUAUUCACAUUAUAUCUUUUAAAAUAUAUCCAAUACUUUAAUAAAUAAAUUAUAAAAUUGAUUGUUAGACGAAGAUCAUAAGCAAUGUAUAGAGUGUGUAAAAUAGAAUUUAAAUAAUAUAAAAUUUUAAAUAAAAUAAAAUAUAAAAUUUUAAAUAAAAUAAAAUAUGAAAUCUUAUCAAAUAAAAAUAAUAUUAUGUUAUAGUUAGAAUUUUAAUGAUAUUCGAUGUAAUAGAAUAUUUAAAUAGUUAACGUUAUUUAAAGCAUGAAAAGUUGAAUUUAAUAUAUUUUAAUAUUAAUUUAUAUUAUAAAAUAUAUAAUUAUUAAAAUUAUAAAUUCAUAACACUUGCUUUAAAAAAAUUCUAAUACUUAUAAUUAUUAUAUAUUUUUUAUUAUAAUUUUUUAAUUAAUAUAAAUUUUAUUGUUUGAUAUUCUAUAUUAUUUUUAUUUAUUUUAUAUUUAUAUGCUUUAUUAUAUGUGUGUACGAUCCCUUCAGAUAAAGGUUUCGUCCCUAAAAAUAAUCAUUAAAAAAUAUGAAAUAAGCGUAAAAAAUAAAAAAUAAUUGUUUAUCGAUAAAUCGCUGCAGGAAUAUCGCAUUUCCUUAAAAACCAACUUUCCAUAUAUGUAGAAAAUUAUCAUUUUUAUUUAUAGAAUCUCAACUCAUACUAUAAUUAAAAAGAAAAAAAUAUAUUUUAUAGAAAUAAUUAUUAUUGUAUUUAACUAAUUAAAAUAUUUUUAUAUUUUUUUAAUUACAUUAAAAAUUCUAUUUAUUUUACUUCCGUCAAUAUAAAAGGACCAGUUAAAAUUUAAGUUUUUUUACCGUUAGUCUAUAUUGAAUAGUCUAAAUUACCCUUAUUAUUGCAUGUGGCUUUUGACUUUUUGAGCUAUCAGCUUUGUUCCUACGUAAAUAGCACACAGCUCAGCACUAAGAGUGGAUGGCUUUCCAAAAGCUACGAAGCCACCUUGCCUCUCGCCAUUGGAAUUUCGUAGGCACCAUCGACAUUAAUCUUGAGGCACUGAAAGUCUGGUCUCAUCCAUGUACCUUCCACGCCUUUGCGGUGGAGGAGCCAACUUGACCGGAAAGCUUAGAGUUAACUUCAUGAAACUGUCUUGCUUGGUUAACAGCUAGCAUCAGUAAUGUCUCAGUGGCAGUAGCCUUGGGAUCAAAAUCAGACUGGCCAUCUAAACUAGCAUCACGAUUGGUAACAUCAUUUUUCUACGGAUCGUAUGGAGUAUGAGCAUGAACAAGAGCAAAGGUAAAAGAGAACAAUAGAGCAAUGACGGCGAUGAUGAGGGAGAGGCUAGGGCGAGCUUCCAAGCCAUAUUGAAAUGAAAGGUUUCUGUCAUUGAGAUGGAAGCAUGUGAUUUAAGAAUUGUAUAUAUAAGAGUUGAUGUGAUUAAUAAAGACAGGGAGUUCUAUUUUCGCGACAGUGUGGGAUUAUAGCUCCAAACAGAGGAAAUCUCUCUUCUUUCCCUGUUGUUAUUAAUUAUAUGUAAUAUCCAAAUUGGAUGAUUAUGAUAAUAUAUAAAUAAAUUAUUAUCUAUUUUUUCACUAUAAUAAUAUAUAAAUAAAUUAUUAUAAUUCUAUUUAAUUUUAUUUUAUUUUUAAUUUUUUUUAAUAUUAAAUAAAUUUUAAUAUUUUUAAAAUGAAUAUAAUUAAAAAUUUAAUAAAAAUAUUAUUUUUUAAUAUGUGUAAAUAAAUAAAGUGAACAAAAACUAUAAAUAAAAAAGAAAAUAUUCUUAUUUUUAUUAUUUUAGGUUAUUAUAUGUCAUUGCGUCACUAUAUUAUAAAAAUAAAAAAACUGAAAUAUUAACUUUUGGACUCAACAAAUUCAGUUAUAUAUAGAAAAAAAGGGAGGAGAUCUUUGUACACUACUCAGCAAGAACCUAGAAUUUCUCCUUAGAGAAGUUACUCAAUUCUCUUACACCAAACAGAAAUCUUAGAGAAAUCAAAGAGAAAGGCAUUUCUCUUUGUUUUCCCUCUCACAAUUCAAAACUCGCUUUCUAGGAAGAUGUCGGAUUACUUACCUACAGAGGUUCUACUGGAGAUUCUGGUGAGGCUGCCUGCAAAAUCACUUGUUCGAUUCAGCUGUGUUUCAAAAUCAUGGUAUUUUCUUAUCUUUAGCCCAGAUUUCAAUUUUAUGUAUACCCAAUUCACUUCCACCAUCAACAAGGACAAGCCUGCUCAGAUAAUGAUCAGGAACUAUUCUAGGACUUAUGGGAAAGAGAUGUUUACUAUGCAUAAUGACGAUAUGUCGUUUGGUGAUUAUCAAAUACUUGAUUGUCCAUUCAAGAGUACUUAUGGUUAUCUUCUUGAUGUAAUUGGUAGCUGUAAUGGGUUAGUUUGUUUGACUGAUAGAAAUGUUCCUAUGAAUAGGGGUUGGUAUGCCACAGAAAGCCCAAUUCCAACACCAAAACCCAUUUUUCUAUGGAACCCUUCACUUGGAAUAUCCAUGAAUCUUCCUUUGAUUGGUGAUGCAUUUAAUCGUGUAGUUCUUGGGUUGGGUUUUGAUUCCAUAAAUUUUGAUUAUAAGGUUGUGAGAAUAGAGUUUUGUUAUGGGGCUGUAUGUGAGAUUGAUAUUUUCAGGUUAAGUGAGGAUUCUUGGAGGAGGUUUGGAGGUAAAAGAAAAGUAGGCUUCCCUUCUUACUAUGACAUGAGAUCACCUCAGGCUUUUGUGAAUGGAAAUAUCAAUUGGAUUGGAUGUUAUAUAGAGGAGGACGAAGAAGAGAUUACUUGUAAAACAUUGAUUGUAGCAACGUUUGAUGUGGGCAAAGAAGUAUUUGGAGACCUAGAAGUGCCAAAGGAGUUAGAAACUGGUGGUGAUGAUGAGUUUCAGCUGUCACUUGUGGUACUCCAUAAAUCUCUUUCUUUGAUACGAUAUGAAGAUGGAGAAUACCCGUGCUUUAAUCGAUGUUGCAUAUGGAUGAUGCACGAAUAUGGCGUGGCAGAAUCUUGGACCAAAAUGUAUACCAUUUCUCCAUACAAUGGUUUCUCAAGGACAUUGAACAUAAGGACAAAUGGAGAGCUUCUGCUUGUGACGAGUAACGGAGGGCUGGUUUCAUUUGACCCUGAAAGCAGAAGCAUUAGACAGCUAAAAGUUUAUGGAGAACAAUUCUCUUUUGUUGUGGGUACUUACAUGGAGAGUCUUGUGCUAUCAGAAGGCUUCAGUAGGAUCUUGUUGCAAGCAGCUUUUUCGAAGGCAACUCCUCAUGACAAGGCAAGAGGGAACUACAGUGUUAUAAAGCCCAGCAGGCUAAAGAGAAACCGGAUCUGGAAGAAUAGCAACAACCAGCGGGAUUAAUAUAUUGUACUUUGUCUUUACACCUUUUCUUUAGUAGAGCAUUGUCUGAGAACUGGUUUUAAUACCAAACUCAAUUAUCUUGUUUGUGUACUGGUUACUAUCUAUUAUCAGCAAUGCAAUUGGCUAUGUAGAACUAAUUUGUCUUUUCAGUGAAAAUUUUAUUUUCAUUGCAUCCUUUGAUGUCUUGUUAUGCCAUUAACCUUAAAAUCUCUAGUAUCUGAGUGCAUAAUAGUUUUUAUUAAGUUGACAAGUACUGGCUUGUGUAGGCAAUGGAUGCAAAAUGGGAACGAAAAACAAUCCUGCAGCUAUUAUUAGUGCAAUGAAUAUUUAGAUUUUCAGAAUCCUUUUCAGGCAAUAAUUAGUUUAUCUUUCAACUUAAGAGUGAUUGUGAACUUUCGAAUGCCUAAAAGAGAGUUGACUAUAUGUGAGAGAACUUCGAGUUGUGCUGCUCUAAGGUGAGUAGUACUUAGCAAUGUGGUUUUUCAAUCUUGCUAAUCAAGAAGCACACAGUGUUCAAGUGUUGAUUUCAAACCUAUCUCCUGGUUUACAUUCUAUCUUCUUAUUUCAGCUGAAAUGGAUGUGAAAGAACAUUUCAGCUGAAACUUGUUAUUUUCAUCACCUUUUUCAUUAUUUUUUUCUUGCACAAUGACUUGCCGGUAUAGUUUGAGCAAAAUUGCUUUAUUCUUAAGUUUCUUGUGAUGGUGAGUGAUUAUCUUUAAUAUGCACAGAUGGAUAGAUGCAUAUUCUGUGUGUGGAAAUAAAUUGCAAUUGGUGUUUUAUGUUCUUCAUCAUCUUCUUCUUUACUAAGAUGCCAUGCAUAAAGCUUGUGUGAAUCAUCUUACCUUAUCAUCUGAACAUGCCACUGAUGAACGCUGUUUUCCUUUAUCCUUUUGUUUGUUCUAUGCUCUCUUCACAAUUCUUCAAUAUCUGCACUUUAUUUGAUGAAUUAUGGUAUAUACUAACUCAAAUGAAAGCAACUAAUAAUGAGUGUUAGAAUAAGUGAUUCGAUACUAUUCUUGGCAGGUCGAGAGUUAGAUUCUCAUGAAUCAUGAAUAGAGCAAAUACUUGCAGGGGACAAUUUAUCUUCGGUAUGUAAACUACCUGUAAUUAUACUAUAAAAAGUAGAUCUCACCAUGAUCAUGAAAAAUAUCUACUCAUUAUACAUAUAAUAAUUAAUAAUAUAGAAUAAUUUUUCUAAUAUAUAUUCACUAUAGACUUUCGAUGUUGUUUAAUAAAGAUUACCGGCAAUUUCAUUCAAGUUGAAGGAUUGCGAAUCUACGACUUGAAAUUAGGGUUAUCGGAUGAUUAACCUGAAAAAAAAAAAGCGAAUUAGACAAAUCUUUUUUAUCAAUAAGCUCAAAUCGAUCAAACAAUCCUUAAAAAAAAAAAUAACUAUGAAAUAUUUCAAAUGUUAUUAAAAGAUACUUUUAUGUUUAUAUUAUAUUAAAAAAAAUAAAAAAUCAAACCCAUUUCUUUUGCGAUAUUACCAUUACUUCUUUAAAAAAAAGAAGUUCACAACUCGUAUGCUUGUCCAUGACUCGUAUGCCUGCUUUUUCUCCGAGAAAAGUAGUUUACUAUUCGUGUAUUUUCUUCUCCGCAGAACUUGUUUCAUUCGACUGUAUUCUCGACUAUAAUAUGAUUCUAUUAAAAAUGAUUUUGAUCACUCUAAUUUUAAUUGAUUUAUAUACUAUAUACAUAGGGAAUAAUUCUCUUAAUAGACUCAAAUUAAGAGUGAAUAAUCAAAGAAUUUAAAAUGACCAUCACAUUUAACCUAAUAGCCCCAAUUCUUUGAAGACUCCAUAGAUAAAUUAGCCCUAAUCCCCAAUGUCCUUUGACUUAUCCUGUGUAUCUCAUCUCUACAAGGUCCGCCUAAUGUUCCCUAUUGAAAAUCGUCCAUCAUUGUGGGCCCAUCUCAAUCCAACGGCUAUAAUCAUAUCAUCCGUAACAUCAUCAACCGUCAAACAGUCUCCUAAUGACUUACACGUGUCAUAAAGCCGGUAUUUACAUGACGUCAAAAGUCUGCAAUACUAGAACCGUUUCCGGUUUUCCCUUUUUUUUAUCUCUAUUAUACGCGCAGAGUUGAAUAAUAAUCAGUACGCGCCAUUUGUGUGCAUUGAUGUACGAUAACGGCUAUCUGUGAUGCGAUACGGCUCAGAUUCGGAGUGGUUUUUCUUUCUGUACGUUACAGAGUGGAGGAUGGAUUUGAGCUCUUAUUUAGUAAAUGCAAACGCAGAUGCCAAUCUUGAGCUGGCCCAAUAGUAGAAACUUCUUUAUAUAUUUUUUGUUUUUUCGCCAGAAACUUCUCUGUAUCGUUCAAAGAAUACAGAACGUGGAGACUGUACUUGCCAAUUAUAUGUGUACACGUCAUUGUAAAUUGAUCUGCCUAUGGGCCAAAUUUGGAAACCUCCAUCAUUGUUUUUAUUUUUACUUCCAUAUUUGUUUUAAUUUUUAUGGAAAGUAAAAUCUCCCUUGAGAUUUGGAUAAUUAAAUUUUUAAAAUCAAAAGUUACAUCAUUUAUAUUUUGAUAAAUUAUAUUUUAAUUUUUAAAUUUAACAUUAUUAAUAAAUUUAUUUUUAUAUUUUUAAAAUUAAAUUCUUAAAUAUAUAUAUAUAUAGUUAUUAUUUAUAAUUUCGUUAAUAAAUUAAUUAACAGGAAAAUAAAUAUUUUAAAUAUUUAAAAUAUACUCGAAACACUUAAAUUCUUUUUAAUGUAAGUGAAAUUUUUAUAUUAUUUAAACUAUACUUUAAUUUUUAAAUUUUAGUAUAAUUGAUAGAUUAAUAUUUAUAUUUUUAAAAUUAAAUUUUUAAAUUUUUUUAAAUUUAAUCCGUCUAAAAUUAUAAUUAUUCAAUCUAUUAUAAUAUUAAUUCAAAAUUAGAAGAGAGUUAAAUUUAUUCUGAAAGUAUAAUUUCUUCCUAAAAUACACUUUAUAAAAUCUUAAAAUUUAUUUAAAAGUUAUUCAAUAUCACUUAAAAAUAGCUAAAAUUAUAAAUAUUUUUUUAAAAUUUUGAAGGUAGAAGUAUUGAAAUAUUUUAAUAAAUAAAAGUUAAAGAAUAAAAAAUAUUAAAAAUUAAUUAAAUAAGAUAUUAUAGAUAAGUUAAUGGAGAUUUAAGUGUUCUUUUAAAUAAAAAAUGAACGAUCAAAAUGUUUAGAUUAUAAUAAAGGAGAAUAAACUGAUUAUAGAUGAAUUUAAGUGUAUAAUUUUAAAAAUUUAGAGAUUUAUCCAUUAAUUAUAUUAAAAUUCAAGAACUCAUUAUAAAUUUAAAAAAAAAUAAUAAAGAUAUUUUUAUAAUUUUUAACCUUAAAAAAUAGUAGAAAAAUCUUUAAUUUGAAUGAACGGAUUUUAGAGGAAUUUAAAUGUUUAAUUUUAAAAAUUAUAAAAAUUAAUUCGUUAAUUAUAACGGAAUUCAAGAAUUAAAAGUAUAAUUUUUCUAUAUAUUUUAUUUAAAUUAUUAUGAUUAUUAUUUCAUCAAAAGCCACAAUACACAUGUACAAUGAGUCAUGAUUAGAUUGCGGGUCAAAUUAUUUAUCGGAGUUGUUAUUUGUGGAUAUAUAUUAAUCUCCAUAUUUUCAGUUUAAAUUAAUUGAAUAACUAAAAUUUUUAAACUUAUUGAAAAAAAAUUAUUAUCCGAACAAAAAAAAAAGCUUAAUUUAAUUUGAAUGGUUUCAAAAGUAGUCUACUUUUUUUUUUUUUAAAUUUGUGUUGAACACAACUUUUUAUUUUUAUUUUUUUACUUGAGAAUGUAAAAUCUAGAUUAUGUUAAAAUCGUAUUUUGUGGUAUUCCGUGGCGUUGUUAACAAAUAAUAAAAUUUUUUAAAUACUAUAAGAAAAUAUUAAUGUGAUAAAUAAAAUAUAAUUAUUAAUUAAAAUAAUAAAAAUAUAAAAAAAUAUUAUAUGAUUUCGCUUAUUUUUAUUUUAAAGUUUGUAAUUCAAUUUAUGUUUAAGUAUAAUGAAGUGAGAUCCAGUAGGGUGUUUAGAUAUGUAUAUCUAAAUAGAAACUCAAUUUGAUGGGUUGAUCAUCGAUCUGUGAUUGAUUUUAUAAGGUCCUUCCACAUUUGAUGUUUGAGAAAAGAGAUCUGUAAAAUAUGAGAAGACGGUUAAAGAUCCAUCGGAAAUGUCGCGCAUAGACUUUCUGAUGCUCAAGUCAGAUCGGAAACCUUUUAAUUGUGUCCAGAGAAAUAAAACAAAGAGGAGAAUAGAAGAGAAAGCUCCCUAAAGAGGAAGGAUGGAUUUUAGGAUUUCUCUCCGUGUGUCGGCGAAAGAGAGAGUCCAUCCUUUUGGUUAGUUCAGUGAGAUAUAUAUAUAUAUAUCUCUAAUUGCUCUGACGCUUCUGGUGUGUGUCCCCAUUAGACGAGGCAGAGAUACUUUUAUGCAGGUGUGUAAUGCAGUACAUUAAUGAUGGGCAACAUGACAGUAAAUACAAUGCCAACUAGUUUGUACGUUCCGCACACGCAUUUAUGAUCCUGGAAAAUGAUCAAUGUGUAGGAGGUCGGAUAGUGCUCGACCUUUAAUGAGGUCGGUGAUCUCCAUAUAUGAUUUUCAUUUGCAGUACAUGCCUUGGAGUUGCCAGUCUAUCCGUUUCGAUCUUUGAUAAAAUUAGGGGUGUUGAUGGUCGGAUCUUUAUACUCUAUCCCGAUCUGACCAGAUGAAAAAAUUCAUACGAUCUUUCUAAAUUCCGUAUACACGUGUCAUAAUCUUAAUAAAUUUAUUUUCUAUAUAUUAUCAAAAUAAUAACUCCUAAUAUGAUUUCAACAUUUAAAGACAUCUAGAAAUUACUACUAUUUAUGUAAUGCAUAAUAUUAUGAUAUAUUAUUCAUAGGCCCUCGAUAAAAAAAUCAAUCAAAUCAUACCUUACUUUUUCAUAUAUUUUUCAAAAAAACUAAAAGAAAGCAAAAACAGGAAGCAUGUUCUCGGAUAUUUAUAAGGUGCAUGCUGACUUUGUUUAGAGUUGUGCACAAUGAGUUUNNNNNNNNNNNNNNNNNNNNNNNNNNNNNNNNNNNNNNNNNNNNNNNNNUAAAAAAACACUUUAUUGGUGUAAGAUCAUCUCAAUUCAUAUUUGUAUUCAGGUGUAUACUCAUAUAAAGUUGAUAUUUUUAAUAGCAUUCAGAACCCUUCGAUUCAAAACAGCACAUAAAUUGGUUCAGGAAAAAAGUCCAUAAUUCAUUUCAAUUUAUAUAAAAUCUGAAAUUAGUGAAACAAUUAAUUAGUCUGAAUUUACAAAAAAAAUUAAUUAAUCUGAAAUUACAUGUUUAACUUAAUUUUUUAAAGAAUUUUUUCUCUCUAAUUAUUAUUGGGUCUAUUAAAAUUCUAUUAAAUAUAAAAAAUAUAAAUGCUUCAUUUCUUAAGAAAAAAUUUAAAUAGAUUUUUACAUAAUCGCGCUUGAUUUUUUUUUUAAAUAAAAAAUUUUAAAUUAAAAUAAUAAAAUUUUUUAUAUUUUAAAAAAAUUAAGAGUAAAUAAAUCAAUUGAAUUGAAUUAUUGUGAAAUAUAUAUUUGAUGUGGUUGUGCCGCGAUUAGUCAACUUGCAACAAAAAGAACAUGAGGUGGUUAGCGCUUAUGACAGUAAAUUCAAUGCUCAAAUUAAUAAAUUAAAGACAAGUGCAAAUGUAAGGAAUUGCUUAUAACUCAAGAGUAGUUGUGUAAAAAUGGGGUAUCUUGAUCUCUGCGAUCAUUAGUUUUUAUACUGUAAAAAGAUGAAGUUAAUUAUAGUAUUUCAUAGAAAUUCAAUUGGUACCGACUAAUUGAUAGAGUUAAUUAUAACAUUUCAUAGAAAUUCAAUUGGUACCGACUAAUUGAUAGGAGAUUUCACUGAUUAAUUGAUUGGAAAUUCCGUGAUUAUAGGCGUAAUGGGGAAUUGUUGGAUUAUACUUGCAAACAGUAACUUUAUAUGAAGACUCGAUUUAUUCAGAAGAGGGUGAGUCUUAAUGAAGAAUCGGGUACCACGGUGUUCGGGUCUUCAUUUCCAUGGGUGGAACCGCGUAUCGGCUUAUCAAACUCUUGUCACGUGACUCUAUCUUAUGGUGAUAGCUUAUAACUUACUUUGGUCGAUUGUUAUGUUACAUCAGAGGUCCCCCACUGGUCUUCGAUUUUUCAGAUUCGAAAAUGCCAAUCGUUUUCACAAUCUGGGGUAUGUGGCUAAUUUAGAUUGACCUUUCUCUGCUCACAUCACUUUGCCUCCUCCUGCCCAUAAAUGAUGACUGCCCUAUUUCUCGAACCACAUUUAAAACUUACCGGCGAAGCCGCCAUAUAAGAGCCCUUCUUCUCCUCCAAACAUCAUUUUUGCUCACAACUUAUAUCUUUGCUUUAAAAAAGGCUCGACUGAUAUCUUUACUUUAAAAAAGACUCGACCAUUCCUCUUUUCUGUUUAUAGACUGCCCUACUAAAGGUAACUCCUAUUUGCUUUUUCUCUCAUAGCAAUGGAUAAGAAUACUUCUUCCUUUUGAGGAGCGCCGUUUUAUCUUAGCAGAGCCAUCUCCAGGCGAGCCAGGCUCAAGGUCCUCACCCGCCUAGCCUUUCCAGCCUUAGGAAAAGCACCUCACUGGCUAGCGAGCACGAUAUUUUUCUUUCCAACUUCUUUUGUAUUUCAAACUGCCUUCCUUACUCAGUUUUUGCUCUAUGCAGAUAUGGCCAAGUCAUAAAACAAGUUCGCCCAAGGUGGCACACGCCGCUCACAAGGGCAAAACAGUUGCUGGAACGACUGAUCCACCUCUUAAAUGGGCUCAUCAUACUGAGGAGAUUAUCAUGCUUCCUCCUCCUCUCCCUGCUACCGAGGCACCAGGCCUCACUCAACCCGAGUCUUCCACGAGGGGCGAACCUAAAGUUGUUACUGCCCAUGCCAAAACUUCACAAGGAGAGGCUAAAGCGAAAGUCGCAUGGCCUUGGGGCAUCUAGCUCCUAGCACUGGCCCUGACCUGGACACCUCUCUUCUCGAGGAGCCCUGGUUGUCUGUCUUGAUAGCUAAGAAUGCAUUAUGGCCUAGAGACCAUCAUCGCCUAAAUGAUGUCGAGAUAAACGAUCUCUAUGACAACAUCAUCCACUCUAUGAUGAAGAGUCCCCUAUGCACAUACAUGGCCAAGGAGCAUGAUAAGACUCUAAAGUGAGAAUUUGGGGCCCAAGAGACAGAUAAAGGUCUCCUAUAAGAAGAAUACUCGAGGCUAAAGGCUCAGGUUGAGGAAGUAGAGGGUACAAUGAAGGAGACACUAGAGUAGGUGGACAAGCUGUAGACGGACUUGGACUAGGAAAAUACUUCAAACUCAGCCCUUGAGGAUCAGGGAAAAGUAGCUGAGGAUCAAUUGGCCAUGCUUCAGCGCCAGGUCUAGGAGAUGCAGUCUCAAGUUGAGGAGAACCGAGCCGCCUCUACCAGGAUCACUAAAUUAGAAGCAAAACUUCAAGAGACGGUGGCCCGACAAAGAGAGAUAUUCAUUGAGGGCCAAGACUCCGUAAAGAAGGAGCUGGUGAAAUGGUUCCCCUUUGAAGAUUUUAUCUAGAUAGACGACAUCUUUCUUGAGGAGGAGAGAGAUGAGGACGAGCAAGAGGAGGAGGGAGAAGUCGAGGACAAUCCCAUCGAUCGAGUCUCUGCAAACAACAUGGUAAAUGUAGAAAAUUCUAAUGUAAUGAAGACUCAGGAGGGGGAACCUGAAGAUCCUCCUCCUAUGUAAUCUUCCAUGAUUUUAAUGACAAAUAUUUUGUCACUAUUUUCACUAAGUAUUUAUAUGCUCUGCACUCGUUCAUAAACCUCAUCCAACCAUCAUUAAAUAAAAUAAUCUCUUUUAAAAAAUUGUUAAGAGACUAACACCCGGUCACUGCCGUACAGUAAAUAACUUGGAAAAUUUUACAAAAAUGGGCACAACACUCAGACAUGUGGCCUGGCGGGUGCCUGUUUUAUGGCUUGGGCAUGAAAUGCCUUAGAAAAUUAUAAGUGGAGAAAACACCCGAUCAUGUGGGCUAGCGAAUACUCGCCUUGUUGUCUGGGCAUAAAAAUACCUUAGAAACUUUUUAUGUAAUGGGACUAACACUUAGAUUAUAGGCCAGGCAGAGACCUGCCUUGUGGCUGCAUGGUCAUCCUAAAGAUUGCCAGGUGACUUUUGAGAUCUAUUGUUCCAUCAUAUUUGUUCAAGCUUGGCAGCUUGAACUUGGUUAGAAAAGUUUCUACUAAGAUCUCUUCUGACAAGAGCGAGGCAUCAUGCAAGCCAUAGUCCUCCUCUUGCUCCUUCUGGUACCUUUGCACGACCCAAACCAUCAUCUAGUCAACGUUCUUCAGAAUCUCAUCCGACAGUUCUUCAUCCUCCAGUUUGGCCUUCCCUUUGGACUACGCUUGGAUCACUUCUAUCCGAAUCCUCGAGGUAUCAAUAGAAUCAUACUCCUUACCCUAGGGGCUGUAAAUGAAGUCCCCUCUCGAGCCUUAUUCUGCUCAAAAGUGGCCUGCAGCCUUUUAAUGUAUUAGAGCAUUUGUUCGUUAUUCAGAUUAUUGAAAUCUGCUUCAUUGAUCAUUGACUGGGUGUUUUAUCCACUACCAGGAGUGGAGGAAAUGAUUACACCCUUAUUAGUAGUAGCCUUAGCAACAGCUCCUGAAUUGUCAGCCAUUUUGAGAAAGGAAGAAAAGAAAGAUUUCUUUUUAAGAGAAAGUGAAUAAGAGACCAGUUUUAAUCCAAAUGAAUAGAGAGAAUUCAAUGGAUAUCCCAUUAAUGGAACCAAAUGAUGUGGCCAAAAUGAAACUGUGCACAAUUGGUCAACUUGCAACAAAGAGAACGUGAGAUGGUUGGUGUAUAUGGCAACCACUCCGACGCUCAAGUCAGUAAACUGAAGAUAAGGGCGAAUGUAAGGAAUUGCUUAAAACUCAAGAGUAAUUGUGUAAAAAUUGCGUAUCUUGAUUUUUGCGGUCAUUAAUUUUUAUACUGUAAAAAUAUGGAGUUAAUUAUAGUAUUUCUUGAAAAUUCUAAUCGGUAAAAAAUCCCACAAGCUAAUUGAUUGAGGAUCCCAUGGUUAUAGGUGUAAUAGGGAUCUGCUGGAUUGUACCUGCUAACGGUAAUUUUAUAUAAAAAUUCGACAUGUUUAGGAGAGUAUGAGUCUUGAUGAAGAACCGGGUACCAUGGUAUCCGAGUCUUCCUUUCCACAGGUGGGACCGCGUAUCGGCUUAUCAGACUCUUGUCACGUGAUCUUGUCUUAUGGUGACAGUUCGUGACUUAUUUCGAGCGAUUAUUAUGUUACACCAUAAUUUAAUUUAAAACAAAAGAUAUGACUCGAAGAAUGAAUGAAAUAAAUUAAAGGCAAGAUUCAAAUAAAUUUAAUAUGAUAUUAGAGUUUCUCCAUCUGAUAUUGAGUCUCCUGUAAAUAUUUCAGGCUCUAAUUUAAUCCCAAAUGAAAUUAGUAUAAAACACCAUUUACUCAUUUACUAUUAGCAUAAAAUAAACAUAAUUUAAGUCUCAAUAAUUUCAUUUUCUUUUCAAUAUAUAUAUAUAUAUAUAUAUAUAUAUAUAUAUAUAUAUAUAUAUAUAUAUAUAUAACAGCUGAGCAAUUUACUUUAAGUUGUUAUUUCCAAAUUUAUUUUCCAUUUUCCUCUAAAAGUUAUCGUGGACUUAGAUUGAGACUUAAUAUAUUAAAAAUUAUUAAAUACCAAUUAUUUGAAAUAUUUCCUAUAAAUAUUGAAAUUAAAAAAAUUAAAAAAAAGAGAUUAAAACCAUAAUUUCAAAUAGGAUACUUUGUAGAUUAUGAAGGAGUGGGAAAAAAAUGUCGAAUAUUCUAUUUAAGUUAUUAUUAAAAAAAUUAAUAAUGAAACAUAAAAAACAUAAAUAGAUCCACAAAAGUUGCUGUGGAAUUAUUACAUAAAUACGUCAAAUGUCAUUACUUUCCAAAAGUCAGUCUACUCUUAUUGUGUUUUUUAUUAAUGAUUUUUGUUUUUAAAUGAUAUUCAUACUUGUGAAGUCUCGGUCUGCUUAAAAUAAUGAGACUUCAGAUCUGUAAUCGAACCACUUGAGUAAAAUAACAAUUCUCUACAUCAAAGCAAUGCAUACUUCACUUUCUAUAUAAGGCUUUACAGCACUCCUUGAUUAGCAUUAAGUAUACAAAAACCUUCCAAUAGUUUUAAGUCUUUUGAGUGAAACAAUGGCCAAAGUGGAAAAUGCUCAGCCUCCACAGUUGGAAAAUCAACAAGGAGGAAACCUUCAAGCGCCAGUCUUUGGGAAUUUUCAAGCAGGGAACCAGCAAGGGAGCUAUGAUCGGGGACUCAAAUCAACGAGUACACAAUUCGGAAAUCAACAAGGUGGUAAUAUCCAAAUACCACAGUCUAUAAAUCUUCAAAAUGGAAACUCCUUUCCGGUCAACUUUCAAAAUGUAAGUUUAUCUGGGGGAUGUAUACCAAACAUUCAAGGGGGAAAUACACAAUCUGGGAACUGCCAAAUACAACCAUGCAUGCCAUCUAUAGAGUUUCCCCAGCCUGGGAAUCCAUACAUGGAAUGUGUAGUACAAUUUCCAUGUUAUCAUGCAAUUAAUAAUCAAGGUGGAAAUGUUCAAGGAGCCAGUACUCAAGGAGGAAAUACCCAAGGCAUCAACACACAAGGAGGCUACAUUCAAGGUGGAAACCUUCUAGGAAGAAAUGCACAAGGAGGAAAUGUUCAAGGUGGCAAUUGCCAAGGGUUUUAUGGGCCAUAUAGUAAUAUACAAGGAGGAAAUGUUCAAGAUGGUAAUGCACAAGGAGGAAAUGCUCAAAGGGGAAAGGCUCAAGGUGGAAAUGUUCAAGGGGGAAAUGCUUAUGGUGGAAUUGCUCAAGCUGGCAAUGCUCAAGGUGGUAAUGCCCAAGGGUUUUAUGGGCCAUAUAGUAAUAUUCAAGGAGGAAAUGUUCAAGGUGGUAAUGCACGAGGAGGAAAUGCUCAAGGUGGUAAUGCUCGAGGGGGAAAUGCUCAAGGUGGGAAUGCACGAGGAGGAAAUGCUCAAGGAGGAAAUGCUCAAGGUGGUAAUGCUUAUGGUGGAAUUGCUCAAGGUGGUAAUGCCCAAGGGUUUUAUGGGCCAUAUAGUAAUGCAAAAGGAGNNNNNNNNNNNNNNNNNNNNNNNNNNNNNNNNNNNNNNNNNNNNNNNNNNNNNNNNNNNNNNNNNNNNNNNNNNNNNNNNNNNNNNNNNNNNNNNNNNNNNNNNNNNNNNNNNNNNNNNNNNNNNNNNNNNNNNNNNNNNNNNNNNNNNNNNNNNNNNNNNNNNNNNNNNNNNNNNNNNNNNNNNNNNNNNNNNNNNNNNNNNNNNNNNNNNNNNNGAAAUGCUCAAGGUGGUAAUGCUCGAGGGGGAAAUGCUCAAGGUGGGAAUGCACAAGGAGGAAAUGCUCAAGGGGGAAAUGCUUAUGGUGGAAUUGCUCAAGGUGGUAAUGCCCAAGGGUUUUAUGGGCCAUAUAGUAAUGCACAAGGAGAAAAUGUUCAAGGUGGUAAUGCACAAGGAGGAAAUGCUCAAGGUGGUAAUGCUCGAGGGGGAAAUGCUCAAGGUGGGAAUGCACAAGGUGGGAAUGCUUAUCUUGGAAUUGCUCAAGCUGGCAAUGCUCAAGGUGGUAAUGCCCAAGGGUUUUAUGGGCCAUAUAGUAAUAUUCAAGGAGGAAAUGCUCAUGGUGGAUAUGCUCAAGGUGGCAAUGCACAAGGAGGAUAUGCUCAAGAUGGCAAGGCUCAAACAGGUAAUAUCCAAGAUGAUAAUAUUCAAAGUGCAAUGUUCACAAUAAAAAUAAGCCAAAUAUUGCAUAUUGUACUUGUGCACAUUUACCAGGUUGUCCUUGGAGGUAAAUAUACAUCAGUAAGCCCAAAACAUUUGAAACACACUAUACCUCUCACGUCAAAUUUAAUAAGCAAAUACGAAAAAGAAAAAAAAUGAAAGAAAUGAACUUUAUCAUCUACAAGUUAAAAAUGAGGUUAUAAUUAUAGAAAUGCAUAAAGAUUUGACUUUUUUGAUGAUGUGGAACUAAACUUUAAUAAAAAUUAUAAAAAAAUGAUAUGACAUGUGACUUUAGUCAAAUUAAUUUUAGAGAUUAUUUAUAAUUAGGAGAAAAUUAAAAGAAUAGGUUUUUGUCAUCCAAAAUUAAAAAAAUACUAUUAUCAUGAAAAUUUAUAAAAAUUUAGUUUUUUUUAUAUUCGAUAGGCCUUAAAAUUUUAAAUAAUUAUGUGUUUAGUUAAAAUAAUUAUAAGUAGCUGAUAAUCAAUUAAUAUUUUUAGUAAAAAAUUAAAUAGCCUAUGAGUAUGUUUAUUAUUAAUUUAUAAAUUAAGAGAAACACCAUGUAACUAGAGAUUUGCAAUUCUUUUAACUUAAUUUUAAGUCACUUUAUAAUUUUAUUAAAUCCUUUAUGUAUAAAUUUAUUAAUAUAUUUAAAAUUUUAAAUUAAAUAAUAAAAAAUUAUUUUAAUUUUUAAAUAUAAAUUAUUUUCUACAUAGAAACGAAAAGCUUAUAUUUAAUAGUUAAUGUAUAAGUGAGGAAAAAUAAGUACAACACAUUUUUUCUUAUAAAGAAAUGGUACAAGGGUAAAAAAUUAAGCCUUUUAUUUAGAGCUUAUUUGAGUGAAGGAAAAUUAAUUUUUAUAGCAAUAGUUGUCUUUUUUUUUAUUUUUUAUUACUUUGAACUAUUAAAUAAACCUUUGCAAUAUUAUUCUUUUAUAAAUUUUCUAACUCUGUGAAUCACAGAAGAAUUUACAUUAUUAGAUAUAAAUGGAAAAAUGGGUUAGCUCUACCAAACUUCAUGAAUGAAAAAAAAAUAUUAUCCAUACUUAUAAAUUCAAAAUAAUAAAAAAAUAAAAUUAUUUUUAUGCUAUCAAAGAGUCUAUCUAAUUAAUUAACAAUACUUGAUAAGAACUCUAGAUCCAACUUAAGAUAGUAAAUCCUCAAUUUUAUGUAAAAGUUUGACUGUUUGAUUAAAAUAUAUGAACUUAUGAAGUCUUGUCUACUUAAAAGCAAUAAUUAAUUAUGGGUCAUGUUCAUGGAGGCUCUUUUAGUUCUGUCUAUAUAAGGAAUCAACUGUUCUCCACUUUCCAUCCCAAGUGAGAGUCCUCAAGGAAAAAAAAAAGCUUUAUUAGUUCCUAACUCCAAAAUGUCUACAGAAAAUAAGGAGCAGAAGGAGACAAAAGUACGUGUGAUCGCCAUAGCCAUUGUCACCUUAGCUUUCUUUCUUGGGACAACAAUAAGAAUAGAGCGACACCUAGUGGGUGGGGAAGGAGACAACAUCCAAUGGCUGGUUGAUUGGAUGAAAUCGCCAGAAUCCCAGAACAAGUCGAUGAAUCUUCGGUGCCAGAAAGUGAAUGACGAGUUAAGAUGCACGAGACAGCCAGAAGAAGGAAACGGUCAUGCUGAAAAUUCCAAGCAAUCUCAACGGCUUUUCCUUCGUCUGGAUGAUCUAAAAGGCGACCAAACUCAAUCGGAGAAUUCCCUUUGUUGUCGUCCUUGUAGACAUUCCUCAAGCAAAGCUUUCAUAUAUUGCUUUGUGUUUAGCCUUGAGAGAUAUAAGAUUACUUACGAAUGGCUAUUCCCAAAAACAAAGGUAAUGUCGCACUCUUCAUCUUCGCUUUGCAUGCAUGAACCAAAUUUUGAAGCAUUUUAAUCUGAUUAGUUGAACUCGAACUUAGUCUAUCUGAACUCAAACCAAAUAUUAACGCACUCACACUUUGCUUAUUUUGAAUAUUAACAUAUUUAAAUUUGACUCAUUUAGAAAAUUAUGGAGUUGUUUCAUUUGUUUAUGGCUUUUUAAUUAUUUUAGAUAAUCAAGCCAAACUUUUGAAAGUUAAGUCUUAUAUGGAAGAGUCAGGUCCAUGUAUAUGUUAUUGUUCUUUAAUUUUCGUUUGAUGAUCAACUUGUUGUUCUUUGGUCAGAUUAUAACUAUUGUUGUUCCUGUCCGGGACUGUAUAUAUCAUUCAGUAACUGAAAGAGUAACAACAAGUAAACAAAACGCAACGCACAAGUAUGAGAUUAAUAAAAUAGUGUGUGCGAGGAAGUGCACACAGAUGACUUCCUUGAGACUAUGCCAAACUGAAAAACACCAAGCUAAUACUGAAUGGAAACAAAUUGAAAAGCGUCAAAUUGAUGCCAAACUAAAAAACACCAAACUGAUGCCGACCUGAAAAGUCACGUCUUCCACAUGCAGAAAAUUUAAGCGGGAAAAUGCAUAGUUAGUUAUAAAAGUAGUUAGCAUUAUGUUGAGAAGAACCUCUAGAUCAUUCUAGUAGUUUUCGCUCUUGUAUAUAUAAGUUAACAUAGAGUAAACAAUAUACACGAGUUUUUUCUCUCUUCUAUUUUCUAUUAGUAUUGUUACUUUUUGUACAUGGUAUCAAAGCUUAACAAUCAAGCUUUUGUAGCAGCAAUGGCUAGUACCAGCGACGUGAUCCCUAUUGUGAACCAGAAGGGCCACCUCACUCUGUAUAAUUCUGAUUCUCCAGGAGCAGUGUUGGCGAGCGUACCAUUCACUGGAGAGAACUACCUGACCUGGAGCAGGUCAAGGCUGAUCGACUGUAAGCCAAGGAUAAGGUUGGCUUCGUCACAGGAAAAUACAAAAAACCUAAGGAAGACUCUCAGGAUUUUGAGCAAUGGUAGAAAGUCGACAUCAUGGUGAUUUCUUGGAUUCUUAACUCUAUUUCCAAAGAAAUCGUAGAGGCAUUUUUGUAUACUACAACUUCUCAUGAACUAUGGGAAGAGUUGGCUCAACGCUUUGGGGGCAGCAGUGGACCUCAGAUCUACCAUAUCUUGAGAGAGAUCAGCUCGUUCCCACAAGGUAACAUGAAUAUAAUGGUUUACUUUACUAAACUCAAGAAAGUCUGGGAUGAAUUAUCUUGUUUCAUACUAUUUCCUUUAUGUACUUGUGGUGCUACAAAGGAGAUGAGUGAAAUUUGUGAAAGCGACAUAUUGACCCAGUUCCUCAUGGGACUAAAUUCAUCAUAUGAUCACGUUAGAAACUAGAUCUUCCUCAUGGAUCCAUUUUCCCCGGUGAAUUGUUGCAUAUGCCAUGGUAUUGAUGGUUGAAAAAUAAAGAGAGGUUAACACCUUCACACCAAACUUGACAGAUGGUUCCAUAGUCAUGAUGGCCAAGACACAGGGUAAUAAUAGGGAGAACAUAGGCUAUAAAACAUCAUUCAAGAGAAGAGAAACAGGAAAGGAAGAUGAAAGGUUUUACGACCACUGCAAAAACACAGGGCACACCAAGGACUCUUAUUUCAAGCUAAUCGGAUAUCUUGAAUGGUUUAAAUAAAAGAAGACGAAGCAAUUUGCAAAUGUUGUAGAAGAUACUUGCAAUACCACACUUGAGGUUGAGCCAGAUAAAGCCCGUAAAGAAGAACUAAUUGCCACAAUCACCAGCACAAUUCAGUAAGAACUGAGCAGGAUGAUAAAAGGCAAAGGGCUCCACGAGGCCAACUAUGCUGAAUUUACUGAAUUUGCAGGUGAAUGCACUCAAAAUUCUUCUACUUUUCUUUGUUCCAUUAAGACUGGUAAAUGGAUCAUAGAUAAUAGUGCUAUAUUGACGAGUGUCGAAUCUAUAAAUUUAAAAUUUACUUCCUUUUUCUUAAUUGGUAAAAAUUUAUAGAUAGAGUGUUUGAGUAUCGAUGCCACAAAGACCUUAAUUCUGUUUAAUUUAAAUGACUAAUUGAAAAACUAGUUUGAUACGAAAAGUGAGAAAAAGAGAAUUUUUUAGGUUGUGCCUUGGGCACACCAAUAAAAAUAAACUUAAAAGAAAAUAAUAAUAAUAAACAAUGCAAUUGAAACUUGAGCAACAAAUAAAUAGUUAAAACUUUUAGCUGAAAGUAAUCAAAUUGAGGUAUUUUGUAGAUGAUCAUUGGUUAGAGAAAUAAUUCAUGUUAUUAUCUAUUGUUUGGUUAUAGUGGUCAAACACGCGAAUUCCAUUAAUUCUUCCUUAUGAAUAAAUUAAUCCGCUUCGCACUUAAAUUAAUUCCUAGUCAACUAACAACUCCAACACGCGUGUAGAUUUAGUUAAUCAAUUGCAUUAAGAGAGAAGAACUCAAACUUGAUCAAUAAAAAUACGUGAUUUAUUUAAAUUAAAUCUGCCAAUUUCUUAACAUAAACUAAUAUAUUAAUUGCUACUUGUUAUUAACCAGAUUAAAUAAUUACAAAUUUAAUUAGAUUAAUUAGCUAUAGAUUAUUUUUCUAAGAGAUUCAAUAGGCCUCUUGAAUUCUUAAGAAAACAACAAUGGAGGUGAUGUUCCUUGAAAUAAAAAAUUGAUAAAAAAUAGAAAUAAGAUGAAAAGAAUUGAAGUGCAUAACUUCACAACUUGAACAAAUCUCAAUUUAAUUUAACUUUCAACUGAAAAUAAUUGUUUAGCCUCUCAUAGCCAUAAUAAAAUUAUAACAAUUACAACAAUGGGGGCAACAAGAGAGGAAAUGAGAUAGAGAGGUAGAAUAUGAUGUUCUCUAGGUUUAAUGCUACGAGUCUUUAAUAGACACAAAGGAUAAAACUUAAUAGUUUAAAACAAAAUAUACUACUUCUAUCUUAUCUCUAUCAUAAUCUGAUUGAAUUUAAUUCAACUUGACCCCAUUUGAAGCUGAUCUUAUUCUUGCUUAGGUGACAAAAUCUAUCUUAUCUCUCCAUCGCCUUGGACUACAGGUUUGGUCAAGAUUAUAGCCUCCCAGUAUAAAAAAUCCUUUAAUUCAGCCUUCUUUUCUUUCAUUUUCUUAACUUCUGCUCACAACCCUAUCCAAAAUUAAAUUCAAAUUAAAAUUAAAUAUUUAUAUCAAAAUUAUAGUAAAAUCAAGGAAUUAAAUGAGGAAAAAAAAUUAUGAGUUUUGCAACUCAUCAUAUAUCUCAAACAUGUUCUUCCUUACACUUUUACAAAACACCAAGCCUGUAACUAAAUCCAUAAUUGUGUCACUAUCUAAUGUAUCGACUAAAGAGGUUAGAAGAAUUGGCGAUGUCAGACUUAAAACUAACUUGAUAUUGCAUAAUGUACUUCAUAUACCAGGUUGCAAAUACAAAGUCUUAUAUGUUCAACAACUUCUAAAAAA
Molecule: long non-coding RNA, 47997 nt
Filed under: Manihot esculenta (cassava)
Lineage: Eukaryota; Viridiplantae; Streptophyta; Magnoliopsida; Malpighiales; Euphorbiaceae
Description: long non-coding RNA (MESC_LNC003758)
Source: RNAcentral